This 47035-nucleotide long non-coding RNA is filed under the name Populus trichocarpa (black cottonwood). RNAcentral's name for it is "long non-coding RNA (PTRI_LNC002468)". The record is from RNAcentral. Lineage: Eukaryota; Viridiplantae; Streptophyta; Magnoliopsida; Malpighiales; Salicaceae.
AGCUUCCUUGGUAAUGGUCCGGCCACUUGGGCCAAUCGCUACAGCUGCAGGAAUGCCUUGAAUUUUGAAUUUCCGACUCAGGAUUUGUUUCCUUCCAUCACCAAAUGGAAGGGCUAACCAAGGCAUUUCUGAAUAGAACUCGUCAAAGGUGGAUUGAUCUCUGUCGCUUGAGAUGAAGAUCACCUCAAAUGCAUUGUCUUUUCUUUUAAUUGUGUGGUAUGCUUCAAUUAGCUUGGGUAAAAAGGCACGACAUGGAGGGCACCAUUGAGCUGAGAAGUAAAGAAGAAUGUUCUUUCCAACUAGUUCAGACACUGGGACCUAAUCAAGAGCAAACCAUUUGUAUAAUAUAAAAAACCUUAGCUAAUGAAUUCAAUUCGUGAUAAUAAGAAAGUUAUUGAAAGUAAUGCAAUAACAACAUGCGAGGUUAGCAUAGAACAAAAAACAUUACCUUGGAGCCACUUUUGUCAAUCACAAAAUCAUUUUCCCCAUUAACCAAAACUGACUCAAGCGUCUGCGAUUCCAGUUUUGCCUUUUCAAUUGCAGCUAGCUCGUCAAGCUUUUCCGGUGUAAAUGGGUAGGCUUCAAUACCAUGUUCUUCGAUUAGUUCAGCUACAUAUGGGUUCAAAGUCUUCCCAUCUUGGCCAAUUAUGACAAGAUUAGGAAUGGUUCUAAGUUCAAAAUACCGCACUAGCUUCUCGCAGCUCUUGUCCUUAAAAGGCAAUGCCAACCAAGGCAUUGUCUCAAAACUCUCUUUGAAGUCUUCUUCUUCGUCGUCUAGAGAUAUUAGGACUACUUCGAAGUUCUCUCCUUUUUCCUUGAGCGUCUUAUACAGUUCCACUAGUUUAGGAGUGAAUUCACGGCACAUCCUAUGAGCAUGGGCUGAAAAAUACAAGCCAACCAAUUUUCCUUCAAGGUCCAACACAGGGAUCUGCCAUUACAGAUAGCAAAAAUGUGAAUUAUGGCAUCAUCAAUUCAAUUUCAAAACUAGCUAAUUGAAUGAAACAUCUACCUUUUUUCCAUCAUUUGAAAUCACAUAAUCACGUGAGCUGGAAACCAAGAUAGAGCUUAUGGUUUGAUUCUUCUUAGCAUUCUCUUCUUGCUCUUUCAGGAAAUUCAGUCUAUCAAGGUUGAACGGAUACCCAUCCACGCCAUGUUCCUUGACAUGUCUAACUCCAUUAUCGGAGGAAACCUUACCAUUAGUAUCAAAAAUGACAAGCCUAGGGAUCCCUCUUACUUUGAACACUUCCUUAAGACGUUGGCGGGUCUCCGUAUCAGAGAAGGGAAUAGCAAGCCAAGGCAUUUCGGAGAAGUAUGUAUUGAAGGAUUCAUCGUCUCCGUCAGAAGAAAUGAAGACCACCUCAAAUCCCCCUUUGGAUGAUAGUUGUUCAUAGACUUCUACCAACAGUGGAGUGAAAUUACGGCAUGGGCCGCACCACGAACCAGAGAAAUAGAAUCCCACAAUCUUCCCAACCAAAUUACUGACCUUAACCUAAAAAUUAGUGUCGAGCAUAAUCAGAAAAAAAACAUUAGCCCAUAAAUUAAGAGGGUAAACAAAAACUGAGGCUUUUCUUAAUCAUAAAAGCUCUAGAAAUUGGUCAUAAACUUGUUCUUCAGCAAGGGUCGCACUCUAAUUUAAACAUGAUAUCCAUCUUAAUUACGAGAAAAAGUUUAAUAAGACAAGUAGAAGUAGAUCGCAUAAGACCAGAGAAAUCCAUAAGCUAAAAGCAGUACCUGGUCACCAUUGUUGCGGAUGAGAAAGUCCCUCUCUUCCGACGAAAGAAGGGAUGAAAGGUCGUGCGAAACGUCUUCGUUGGCCAUUGUUAAGUGAUGAACUACUCAAAAUGCUAUAACAAUUGCCGAUUCCAAACGCUAUUUAUUGGGACAAACUGGGAUGGUUCCUUCUAAGUUACUUGCACAGCACGCCGAGUGAACUAUCAGACGUCAACGAUGACAUGUAAAUUUGGAUGGUGAUGACAAAAACAUCAUUCUCCUUAUCUAAAUACCAGCAGGUUCGAGAAACUGGUAUUAAACAUGCUUUCCCACGUGCAACACACCUCCUCUGGCUUUUUUUAUUUAAAAAGAAAAAGAAAAAGAAAAAGAAAAAGAAAAAGAAAAAACAUAUAUUUUUUUUAAUUUCUCUCUCUUUUAUUUUUUUAGUCACUCUUCACUUUUUACCUUUUUUUUUUUUUUCAAGAAUCUGAAUUCUAGGUUUCUUCUUUAAUUAUAAAAAACCUCUUAUGAUUUGAUUAUGUGAAAUUAUACUUUAUAUUUUUUAUCAAAUAAAUUUUUUUAAAUUGAUAAAAUAUCCAAAUUGUCUUUAUCUAUAAUAUAUGAGAAAAUCAAUUGAAUAAUAGAUCAUAUACUCACACUCUCUUUCUUGUCCUACUUUCUCUCUCUACAAAUCAUAUUCUCUCCCUUCUUUGACAACUAUUAUCAUAAUUUGUUUAAUCGGUCUGUUUUUUGUUCUCGUUUUGUGGGGAGUUCCUUCCUUUUCAUGUUUAGAACUCGACGAAGUUGGAAUCUUUUUCAUUGUUGUUAGUCCAAAGAUCACUAUUACAUAUGGUUUUAGUAAUUUUAAUGAUCACAACAAUUUAGUGAAUUUAAUAUGUAUAUGAAGAUUUGAUAUUAUAAGGAUUUUUCUACUAUGUCAAAUUAGAGCAAAAUAGAUUCUUUGGAUGUAAACUUAACUUUGGAUGCCUAAACUUAGAGUUAUGUAAUCAAGUCUUUACAUAAUUUAAUUUUUCACACAAAAAUGAUUUUUAUCCAAAAAGAUUCUUUAUUAUUGAAUUUUUACAUAUUGAAAAAUAGUUUACGAGAAAAUCUUUCAUAAAAUAUUUCAGAUUGUUACUAAAUUUUUUUUAGAAUGAAAAGUAUAAACUUAAUUAAAUGAUUUCUUGUGUUUUGAUCACACUAAACAUUUCUUGUUCAUUUUCAACUAAGUGGGUAGCUAAGUGAGUUGUGACUUUUCCAUACUCAAAAGUGCAUAAUACAACUAUGUCAUUCUACUUUGCUAAACACACCAAGCAUGUUUAAAUUUCUCAUUUAGCAAUAAUCAAUGGAAGGUAAUAAAAUAAGUUGGAUUUGAGUUUUACUUAAUUGUUCCAUCUAAAACAUCCAAAUUCAUUAUCCAACUCUGACCUAAUUAAAUUAGGUUAAAUCGGGGAUGAAAAAGUUUUUUUUUCAAGUUAAAUUUUAUGUUUUAAAACCAGUUUAGGAGUUUUUUGAGUUGACAGUAGGGGUUUUUUUUUGUUCGGUUUGGUUUUGGGAAAAAAAAAGAUAACUUCAUUGAAAUUUACUUUUUUAAGGUUUUCAACCCGAAAUCAGUUCAAAGCUAUCGGGUGCGGCUUGGUUCAGUCUUUUUUGUUUCAAAACUUGUUCAGAUCGACAUUAUUUCAAUUGAGAGUUUUUAUAAGCCUCGCUUUUUAGGUUUUUAUUACAAUGGAUCCAAGUUAUUUUUACUAUUUUUGGGUUUUUCAAGAUUUGUUUUGAAUUUUUUCAUAAAAGGUUUGAGUUGUUUUAUUACAAAGGCUUUUCAUGCCUAUAAAUAAUUAUAUGAAUUUUUACUUCAAUAUAAACAUACAUAGUUGAUGCGAAUUCGGAGAGUAAAACCCCUUGAACCCUCACACAAGAAAAAAAAUCCAAGAAAGCUAAAAUCAAGUUGAAAAGAACCCAACCUAGUGGUUAUCUAAACUAAAGAAUCAUAGUUAUUGGAUGAAAAAACUUAACCCAAUAAUUAUAAUGAACCACUAACUAAAGGUAUAAGGAUGAAACCCCAACCCGUUAAAUAUUGUAAUAAAUAACGAACUAAGAACUAUAGGUGUAAGGAUGGAUAUCAUAAAGAGAGUUGAUCUUUGAUAAGUUUUUUAAAAAGUUCCAUGAGGAACCAAGAGUAUAAGUAAACUCUUUCACACACAAUAAUAUUCUGAAUAAUCAAUCCGUCUCAAAUUAUUAAAAAAAACUAAAUAUAAGUUAAAUAACCAUAUUUAUACUAGGUAAAAUAAAAAAUGCUAAAAAAAUAACAAAAGAGUUCUAAAUGAAAUAGAAGAAAGAAUUCUAAAUUAAUUGAGAAACUAAUGCAAUUCUUGUAUAGUAGCUUUUGAUCUUUAUCGUAAGGCCUUAUCAAUAUUUAAUUGCUAUUAUAUUUCAACUCCAUAUAAAACAAGGAUUUUAGAAUCAUUAAGAAAAUUUGAAGCCCAAUCCACAUGUAAGCAGGAAAAUAAGUUGAAUCCGUAAGUCCUAUAGAAAAUAAAACUCAAAUAUCUUGAAAUAAUCACUAAAUAUUUCUUUAACCUUCUUAGCUCAUAACCUGGCACAUGUAAUUAAUCAUAUGGUAUUGCUUGAUGGUUUUAACAACAAUGCUUCAAUUCAUCCAAAUUAAUAACAAAAAAAGUAAAUGAAAUCUAAAAAGCUACUCUCCAUGAAAAGAUGACAAAAAAAGCUUUCAUCAAAAUCUUAACCAUCUCAUAAUUAUCACUCAUAAAUUAUCACAACAAGUAGCUCCCUAGUUUUCAAUAUUCGUAAUUAAUGAGUCAAUAUUCGUAAUUAUCACUCAUAAAUUAUCACUCAUGGUUUAUAAGGUGUUUUAUAGGUGUUUUGGGUCAAAACAGGUUUUUAGGUCAAAUGAGCAUAAACUCUGAUUUUCCGACAACCACAAUGGCUAGAACCUGGGCAAAACAGGUGUACAUGACUGUCACACCCAAGAGCAUUAAUUGGGUUUGGCAGUCAUGCCAAAUCCAAGGCACUUGGGGCAAGCAGUCAUAAAAGACUUAAGCGUCUUGGGUCAGGCAAGGAUUGAGUCUGACAGCGUUACCCUUGGGUCUGACAUGGUUGCCUGCCUAAGCACCUUGGGUCAGGCAUGGAUUGAGUGUGGCAGGCAAGCCAGACCCAAUCCAUGGGUUUGGUAUGGUUGCCAUCAUAGUUAUCAGACUCGGCUUGACCCUGCAGGUCAACUCAGGACCCGGGUGACCUAGGGCCUUAGCUAGGUAUAUUUCAUUUAAAAUUCAGGCCUGCAAUUGACCUAGAUAAAACCGGUCAUCUUGUCGGAUUAACCCAGAACUCGGGUGACCCAGUAAAACCCGGUAAAGACCUGUUUUUUUUUUUUCAAAUAUAUUUUUUCUCUUAGCCAGAGACCCAUUUUUUUUUAUAUUUUUUAGUUGUUUAUAACUCAUUUCAAAGUUCACUAUAUAAAUACUAGAAGAAUGUUUUUAUUUUUUCAAAGUAAGUUUUGAAGCCCUUUAGUAUAUAUAUUCUAUGUUCACAAUAAAAGGUUAUGUUUUUUCAAUGUGGGAUAAAAAACCUUUUUGAUUUAAAUAUUUCAACUUAAAAUAAUAUGAUAGUAUCUUGCAAAUGUGGGAUAAAAAACCUUUUAAAAUAACAUUUUAAACUUAAUUAUUUACAACAUGUAUAACCCAUAUCCACAUAGAUUAUUUCUUAAUUUUUUUCAUAUGAAAUAUUAAAACCUCAAAUAUUAUUUUAAAAUUUUUCUAAAUUGACCCGAGUCAGCCCGUGUAACCUGGGUCUCGGCUCCUGGGCCGGGUCAACCCUUGGGCCGAGUUUGAUAAUUAUGGAUGCAAUAAAAAUAUAACUUCAAAGAAUACAAUUAAAAAAAAAUAAAGUGACGUGACCGGUUAAAAAAAUAAAAACUGAAAAAAUGCAUAGAACCUCUUUUUUUUUUUUUGUUCAAGGAGCCUCUUUUAAAUAAUAUUGAUUUUUUUGUUACGUGUUUAAUUUUCGGAAUAGUUUUUUUGGUUCAUCUAUAGUUUUGUUUUUAUUUUUUAUAUAGAUAAACUGUGUUUUUGAAAAUAAAAAAUGUUUAUUUUUAGAUGAUAUUUUUAAUAUGAGUAGUUUUACAUGUUAUUUUUUUUAAAAAAAUUAUUCAAUUAAUUUAAUGUCUUAUUUUUCAAGAUUCAAUAUAUUGAUCUACAUUUGUCUCUCGGUUUUCUAAGUUUUGUUUUAAGAUGUCAUUAAUGAUUUUUUAUUGAUUUAUUAGCGCACGUAAUUCUUAGUUUAUUUGAUUACUUGUGUGCAUCAACUUUUUGAUUUAUUAUAUUUUUUGAAGUAUCAAAAUGCAUUGAAAAAACCUGCAUAAAUAAUGUUUUAUGAAAAAUAAAAAUAUCUAACUUGCAGUGAAGCACAUGACACGUAGCUAGCAAGUUCUAUAAAAUGAGUUAGCAAAGUAGAAAACAAACUUGUAAUAGAUUUGUGCACAUUGCCAUUUCACCAUAAGUUACAUUAGCUCUCAAAACUUUUACAUUAGCUCUCAAAACUUUUACAUUGAAACUUAUAAUACUAGAACUAACAAAACAUACUAGCAGAAAUAUAGUAAGCUUGCAACAAAAUAAGAAUCAAGACAUCAAAUUUCCUUUGUGCCUUUGAAACAUAAAAUGUAAAUUAUUAGGGCACAAUUAAUAAUAACUUAUAGGAAAUAAUUAAUCUACAUCAAAUAUGCUAAAUAACAUAAAUCAACUUUGUCAAACAUAAUUAUUGUGAACAUUGAUUUUUUUUUUAGCCCUGUUUGUUUCAUGAAAAAUGGUUUUUUAGAAAUUAUUUUCCAAACUUUUCUGUGUUUGUUUGUCAUUAGAAAAAUUGAUCAACGAAAAACACUUUACAAUAAAAGAAAAAUUUAGCUUGGUUUCUAGGAAAUUAUUUUCCUUUUAUUUUAGGUGGAAAAUACUUUUUAGAAGUUGUGAAAAUUUAGAAAUGUCUUGUUAUAUGCUGAUUAUAUCAAAUUUGAUCCUCAAACUUUUAAUUGUUAUAUAUUUUGUUUUGAUUUUUUUCUUUCAAUUUCAACCCUUAGAAUUUGAUUUAAUUUGAUUUUUAUAUCAAUCUUGGUCUUUAUUUUUAUAAUUGUUAUUUGCUUUUCUCUUAUCAUUUUUAAUUGAAAUUUUUUUAUCUAUCAAAUCUGGUCCUCAUUCUUUUGAUUGUUAUUUACUUUAUUUGAAAUAAUUUUUAAAAUUGUAAUUUUUUUUAAUUUCAUCCUCUUUCAACUUUUUUAUUUGUUAGAUUUGAUCUCUAUUAUUUUUAUUGUUAUUUAUUUUAUUUGAGAUAUUUUAUGAAAUUAGAUUUUUUUUUAAUUUUAUUAUCAUUCAACUUUUUAAUUUGUAAGAUUUGUUCCUUAUUAUUUUAAUAAACUUGAAAAAAAAUUAACAAUUUAUUUUUCAGUUUAUUUUUUAUGACAUAGUCAAAUACUUAAAAAUAUUUUUUAAUAUAUUUUUUAUGAUAUUAUCAAAUAUCAAAAUAUAAUUUACUUUUUAAAAAUUUAAUUUUCAAGAAAAUUACCUUUUUUAAAAAAUAUAUGUUUUUAGCAAACAAAAGGGUUAAUGUUAAUUUUUUUAUAUAUGACAUGGGGUAGAGUGCAAGCCAGCUAGCCGGAUAGUCUUUGGUGGAUAUUCUUUAGGACUUGGAGGGAAUAAACACAAAAGGUACGAUUUUUUUUAGAUGGAAAUCUGAGCUUUAUUGACCAUAUAUGUCUUGCCAGGUGGCUUCUUGUCUUUCCUUAACUGUCAUGUCUCAUUUGAUAAUUAGGAAUUCCUGGCAGGGCUGCUUUAUUUUAUUGUUAUAUUAGUUUGGUUUUGUGUUUUUUUAAUGAAGUUGGUGGGUCCAGAAACACUCAUUUGGAUUUUAUAUAUAUAUAUAUAUAUAUAUAUAUAUAUAUAUAUAUAUAUAUAUAUAUAUAUAUAUAUAUAUAAUUAACUAUAAACUUGCACAAUUAUUUUACUAUAUAUUAAAACAUUUGAAAAAAACACGGUAGAAAUACUAUAGAUUUACUGUAAACAAAGACACAUUGCCCUGUGGAAGAAACUGUGUCAUAGAGUAUUUGCACUGUGGACAACACUGUUGUACCAUGGGGCAUUCCUUUCCUUUGUUUUUAGUCAAUAAUUACGGGUGGGGGUGUGACCUUCUCUACCAAAAGCCGCUGGGUUUGACUUUGGUAGCCGGACCCAACGCUGUUGUGUUUGGUUGACAAGUUAGACCUAAAACACUUCCAAAACAUGCCAAUAAUGUUGAGUCCUGCAUUCCAGCCAAACCCAACAGAGUAUUUGACUGUGAACACAUAAUGUUCGACUGUGGACGACACUGUAGCGCCUGUGGGGGGGCGUUGUCUUUUCUGUUUGUAAGUCAGAAAGGCUUGCUGGGUCGUUGCAGCAGGACCUAAUAGCUUUGGGUCCUGCUUCCACUAGGACCUAAUGGCGUUGGGUCUUGCUGGAACCAUUAGAGUUGGGUCCUGCCUCAAUAGGACCCAUGACUAUAAUUUUUUCCCUUUUUCAUACGGGUAUGGCUGCGUAGCCAGACCCAGCAGCCAUACCCAAUUAAAUUUCUUGGCCGUUGUCUUCUUUGAUUUAAAUUUAUUUUUCAAAAUAAAUUGAUUGUACUGUGGACAACACUAUAGCAUUUUCCCAGAUCAAUCCUAGCUUUAUCAUCUACACACGCACGCACAUGCACUUUUUUCCUUUUUUGACAAGGAAUUAAAGUUAAUCAAUGCAAGAAAGUAGUAAGAUCACUGACAUCGGCAUAGGAAGAUUGUAAAAAAAAAAUUGAUUUCCUUCGGUGGAUGGAUUGGGAAUCCAUAUUAUCACGUACGUGAGAAUUCAAUCCCCCAUGCCUCUCUAUGCCUAUGUACAUCGUAAAUAUAUACAUUUUCUUCACUAUAGUAUAACACCACCAUUGAAUAUAAUGGAAGACCAUUGAUCAAUAAGGACGACUGGCUUCCAGACCUGGAGCCAUACCUAAUUAAAUUUCUUUGUUGUUGCCUUCUUUGACUUAAAUUUAUUUCUCAAAAUAAAUUGAUGAAUUUUUUUUUAUAUUGUAUAAAAGUUAGGUGAUGAUAAUUUUUUUCCCCAUUUCAGAUUGGGUUGAAUUUCCUAAUUAAAUCAUGUUUGAUUUUGCGUUUCGAAAAUUCUUUGAAAAAAAUUUGACAAUUUUUAAGUUUUUUUCUUUGCUUCAAAUUAAUAUUUUUGUUAUGUUUUUGUAUUUUUUUUAAAAUAUAUAUGUUGAGAUUUUGUCUAGCUGCGACGCCAAACCCAAUAAAUUUUUUUAUUUUUUUUACUUCAAAAUAAUAUUUUCUUCAUGUUUUUGUAUUAUUUUUAAAUAAUUUUUUUUAAAAAAAAUAUUGAGAUUGUAGACGGUUGAGAGGUGAGAAACAAGAAAUUUAAAAAAUUUUAAUUUUUUUCUUUACUUUAAAUUAAUAUUCUUUCGAUAUUUUUGUAUUAUUUUUAAAAAAAUUAUACUGAAAUUAGAUCUGAUUGCGUUGUAUCCUGCCUUCCAGCAUGACCCAAAAAUGUUGGCCCCCUACUUGCAGGAGGACCCAAUGCUUAAUUGGGCCCUACUGCCUCCAUGCCCAACAUCGUUGGGGGCUUUUGCAACCAGGAUCCAAUUACGGUGGGCUCGGCCUCCUAGCAGGACCCAAUAUGCGUUGCCAGCAUGGGUGAUUAGGUCCUUUCCGCUAAGGGAACUUGAUUGUGCAGCAGGCAUCGAAAACACAAGCUCAGUAGCAAUUCAUUUUAGCAACUAAACAGGCUAUAAACAAGCCUAUAAGCCCUUUUUUCUUUGAAAGAGAGAGAUUCAUACUUAUCAAUAUUACAAGGGAAAGAAAAGCUCUGAAACUGAAAAGGGAUAUCCUGAUUUCAUUGCCUACUUGAUUGCUUUCUAAAUAGGAUGUGCAUUUCUCCUAGAACCAGCUGGCUUACGGGCUUACAAGGAACCAAAAAUACUUGGAAGUCACACUUUAAUAGGCACUGAAAUUAGAUUUCUUUGAUUUAAAUUCAUUUUUCCAAAUAAAUUGAUGGGACUUUUAUUAUAUUGACCAAAACUUGAGUGAUGAUUUUUUUUUUCGUUUCAGGUUGGGUUGAAUUUUCUAAUUAAAUUAUGUUUGAUUUUGCGUUUCAAAAAUUCUUUUAAAAAAAUUUGAUAAUUUUUAAUUUUUUUCUUUACUUCAAAUUAAUAUUUUUUUUUAUGUUUUUGUAUUAUUUUUUUUAAAAAAAUAUGUUGAGAUUGUCUCUGACUCGAAGCCCGACCCAAGAAAUUUUAAAAUUUUAAUUUUUUUCUUUACUUCAAAAUAAUAUUUUUUAUAUAUAUUUUUGUAGUAUUUUUAAAAUAUAUUUUCUAAAAAAAUAUAUUGAGAUUGUGUCUGGAUGAGAGGGAAGACCCAAGAAAUUUAAUUUUUUUUCUUUACAUCAAAUUAAUAUUCUUUUGAUACUUUUGUAUUAUGUUUUCAAAUAUUAUUUAAAAAAAUAUGCUAAGAUUAAGUCUAGCUGUGUCACCAGACCCGUGGCAGUAGUGGGCCCUACCUAUAAGCAGGACCCACCGCUACUGGGUCCUUCUCCCAAGCAUGACCCAAUGAUGUUGGGCCAUGCUGCCCAGCAGCGGUGGGCCGUCCUCCAAGACCCAUUAGCUUUGGGUCCUGCAGCCAGCAUGACCCAUCAAAAAGCAUUGGGUCCUGCUGGGGGCAGGACCCAGUAAACCAAUAUUGUAAUGUGUUUUUCCUUUCUCUUAUUUUUUUUCAUAGGGUAAAGAGGAAAUAUUAUUAUUAUAUUAUUGUUAUUGUUAUUAUUAAUAAAUUCAAAGAAAAAAAAAUUAUUACGAUCGAAGAAAAAACAUAAAUUUUAUUUAAAGAGAUUAAAAAAUAUAAAAACUUGGGUUAGACAAGUUUAACAUUAUUAUUAAUAUUACAAAUAUUAUUAUUUGUAUUAUAAAUAUUAUUAUUUUUAUUACAGGUAAUAUUAUUAAUAUAAUAAUUAAUAAAUUUGAAAACAAAUAUCAUUAAUAUUGAAAAAUAACCAUUGAUUUGAUUUGAAAGUUAAAAUUAAAAAUCAUUUUUAUUUUUAUUAAGUUGGGUUUGACAUCCCCUUCUAAACCCGAGAAACUUGGGGCAGGAAAGGGACACAUGAUCGAAGUUGCUUGGGAGAGGCAGGAGCGCGGAUCCAAGUCCCUCGGAUCUUGCAGCCGCGCCUGACCCAACAUACUUGGGUUAGACGUUUGGAGCCAAGCUUGGAUCUGGCUGCAACGCUAGACCCAAGAGCGUUGGGUCUAGCCGAAAGGACGGACCCCAAGCUCAGGGGUCUUCCUUUUUAAACAGACCCAAUGCUCUUGUGAGCAGGACCCACUAAAGUUGGAACAUGCUGCCACCAGAACCUAGCAGCGGUGGCCCUGCUGCCAGCCUCCCCUGCCCAGCACGACCCAACGUUGUUGGGUCCUUCAAUCAAGCAUGACCUAAUGAUGUUAGGCCCAAAUGGGUACCCAGCUGCUAGGUCAUUUUGUCGAGCAUGAUCCAAUGAUGUUGUAACUUUAAUGGGUUCGGAUUGAAGUUAGACUCAAUGCUCUUGGAUCCGACAUUUAUAAGGGGUGCAAAGCUCUUGGGCCCGACAUUUAUAAAGGGUGCAAAGCUCUUGGGCCUGAUGUUGCAGACAGACCCACUUACUCUUUGAUAAGUUUAAUAUUGAUAUGAAUAUUAAAAAUAUUAUUAUUUGUAUUAGGAAUAUUAUUAUUAUUUUUAUUAUAAUUAACAUAGUAAUUAACAAAUUUGAAAAACAAAUUUUAUAUUGAAAAACAACUUACAAAUUUAAUAAAGGGUAAACUUAAAAAUUAUUAUUAUUAUUAUCAUCAUCAUCAUCAUCAUCAUCAUUAUUAUCAUUAAAUGUUUUUAAAAAAUGGAAGAAAAACCAUAAUUGUUUUGUGAAUAGAUUAAAAAAAAAUAAAAACUUGGGUCAGACAAGUUAUAUAUUAUUAUUAAUAUUAUUAUAAAUAUAUAUUUUUAAAAAAAUAUAUUAAGAUUGUGUAUGGCUGAGAGGUGAGACUCAAGAAAUUUUAAAAUUUUUAUUUUUUUCUUUACUUCAAAUUAAUAUUCUUUUCAUAUUUUUGUAUUUUUUCUAAAAAAUUAUACUUAUUAUAUAUUAUAUUAUAUAUGUAUAUAUUUUUAUUUACUAUAUUAAAACGCGUUAUCUUUGUUGUUUGUGAGUAAAAAAUUACAGCUGGGUUGAUGGAUCCUGCUAUCACUAGGAUCCAAUAGCGUGAGGUCCUGUUGCGAGCAGGAUCCCAUUGGCGUGAGGUUCUGUUGCCAGCAGGAUCCCAUGGUGUUGGGUCCUCUAGGCCCCAUUAGUGUUGGGUUGGGUCCUCUAGGCCCCAUUAGUGUUGGGUCCUGCAAGACCCAUCAGCUUUGGGUCCUUCGGCAAGCAAGACCCAUCAAAAAAUAUUGGUCCUGCCACUAGUAGAACCCAAUACUACAAUGUGUUUUUUUUUUCUUCUAUUUUUUUUUCUCAAAGGGUAAAGAGGAAAUAUUAUUAUUAUAUUAUUCUUAUUGUUAUUUUUAUCAUUAAUAAAUUCAAAGGAAAAAAAAUUAUUACUAUUGAAGAAAAACCAUAAAUUUUAUUUGAAGAGAUUAAAAAAUAUAAAAACUUGGGUCAGGCAAGUUUAACAUUAUUAUUAAUAUUCUAAAUAUUAUUAUUUUUAUUAUAAUUAAUAUUAUUAAUAUAAUAAUUAAUAAAUUUGAAAACAAAUAUUAUUAAUAUUGAAAAACAACCAUAGAUUUGAUUUGAAGAGUAAAAUUAAAAAUUAUUAUUAUUAUCAUCAUUAAUAAAUUUGAAAAACAAUAUUAUUACUAUCAAAGAAAAAUAAUAAAUUUUAUUUGAAGGGAUUAAAAACUAUAAAAACUUGGGCCAAAUAAAUUUAAUAUUAUUAUUAACAUUAUAAAUUUUAUUAAAUUCAUUAAUAUAUUAAAUUUGCAAUGAAUUUUAUUACUAUUUUAAAAAACAUAGAUUUGAUUUGAAGGGUAAAAUCAAUUAUUAUUAUUAUUAUCAUCUAUGCCAAGAAGAUGGUUAUAAGUAGGCUUUGGGUGCGGCUCUGCAGCCAGACCUAAAGAUAUUAGGUGAGGCUGCACACCCACACCCAUAUUUAUUAGGUGUUGCUCCGCAGCUACACCCAACUUUACACCCAAUAGAUAAACCUAAUUGGGCUGGGUCCUCCUGCCAACUUUUACACCCAACAGCAGGACCCAAUUGGGUUUGGUCCUGCUGCCAGCAGGAUCCAACAACUAUCAACGUUGGGUCAAGUACCCAGUAGGACCCAAAAGCUUUGGGUCUGGCGCAGCGAGACCCAUCGAUGAUGGGUUCUGCUGCCAAUUGAAUCUAUCAGCGUUGGGUCCUGCUAAUCGGCAGGGCCCAUAAGUUGUGAGCCUUUCUGUUAGGCCCAAUGCUAUUGGAUCUGGCUUGCGCUGGACCCAAGACACUUAAAAGAUUCUCUACAUUUGACAAAAAAAUUGUUAUUGACACGCUGCAGAACGCAGACUAAUAUGCUAGAUAUCAAACUAUAGCGUGUGUACUGGAUUCCUAUGGAAAUUAUUUUUUAUAUAAAAAUAUAAUAAAAUAAUAUUUUUUAUAAAUUAUAAAUUAUUUUUUUAUAUUAAAAUUUAAAAUGAUUAAAAAAUAAAAAAUUGUUUUGAAAAAAACAAUUCAUAUUCUAAAAAACACAGUUUAAAAGCUACUAGAUGCCAUGCCUGCGCGAUGUCGCGGGCUUGUGCAUUGUUGUGGGUUUGUGGAAAAAAUCAUAACAAAAAAAAAAAACCAUAUGGAGAAAAAUUGUUGCAAUCCACAACGUUUUCAAGGAAAAAACUACAAAGCUAAAUCUCAACCAGCUUAAUAUUAAAAAAAUAAAAUCGACAAAGAUAAUUUUUAAAAAAAUCAUAAGAAAAAAAAAACGAAAUGAAAAAAAAUCAUGCAGGGAAACACUAUAGCAAUCUAUAGUGUUCAAUGAGGAAAUCUACUGUUGUAAUUCUCAACCAGCUCAAUAUUAAAAAUAAUAAAAUCGAUAAAGAUUGUCAUAACCCAAUUCUGGGUUAUUCCCCAAAAUUCACUUUUUUUUCAAAAUAAAAAAAUAAAAAUAAAUAAAGGCUGGCAACGUGGAGAAAGCAAGCCGGGAAAUCAAGCUGCAAUUUUUGGAGGAAAUUCAAGGCCUAAUUGUACCCCAUUAUGCCCCAAAAUAUAGAAAAAAUGCAAAUUCAAGGUCAAAUUAAAUGAUUAUUGGAAGAAUUUGCAUAAAAAUUAAGUCCAAUGACAUAAUUAAAUUUUUAAUAGGCCAAUUUGAUUUAAUCAUGGGUCAAAUUAAAUUUUAAUUAUGUUUAAGAAUUAAUUUGGGUCAAAUUAAAGGAUUUAAUUAAGUGCAAGGACUUAAUUAUACUUUAAAUGGGUCAAAUUAAUUUUAUUUGGGGCUUAAUUGGUGAAAAAUUAAGUUUGGGAGCCUAAUUUAGACUUAAUUGAGAAGAUUGGAAUUUUAAGAGAAAAUUUAAUUUUUUCCAAGUUAAUUGAUUGAAAUUAGGGAUCAAAUUGCAAGAAAAUUAAAGUUUUGGGGUCAAUUAGGGGUUAAAUUGAAGAAAUCCGAGAACAGGGACCAAUAUGCAACAGGCGACAAACUAUGAGGAUUCAAUUGACAAAACCCAGGGGUGAAAUUGAAGAAAUUGAAAGUUUAAUGGUCAAUUAGGGGUUAAAUUGACAAAAUCCGAGACCAUGGACCAUAUUGUAAACGGCGCGUAACUUCGGGGUUCCAAUUAAAAUUAAGUAGGGGCUUAAUUGCAUUAAAUCCAAAGUUUAUAGCCAAUUAGGGGUUCAAUUGAAAGAAAUUGAAAGCUUGAGGACUAAAUUGAAAAUCAAUUUAAAUCCCUGGUAUAACCUAAAACGGCGCCGUUUUAUAUUAAAAAAAAAGAGGACCAGACGACGCGUCGUCUGGUCACUGUUCAUUGUCUUCUUCUUUCACAUGAAAAAAACUGCUUUGGAGCCUUACUUACAGGUUCAUUUAUUGCUUGAUUUCUCCAUCAAAUCAAACACAACUUGCACGAAACGGAUCCCCUACAGUUCCUCUACAACCCCAUGUGAACGUUGCAGGAUGAAUGACAACACGGCGUCACCGGGGACGGCGUGAAGAGGUCAAUGCAGGCAGCCUUUUUCCUGCAGAUUUGACAACUCAGGGAGGCUACUUUGAACCAACGGUUGGGAUCCUUCCCAACAUAAUCAAGGGCUGAAAUUUUUUCCCGGUAUAGACAAGAUUGCCCUCUUCCACCGCCUAUAAAUAGAGGCGGAGUUGAUGGCCUGAUGGAGGAGAAAAUCGAGUCCAAAGUUGACAAAAAAACCAGCCUCCUCCCCAGUUUUUUUUUUCUUUUUCUGCAACAAGUCUCUCUCUCUACACUCUCUCUCACCAUGCUCUCAGCGACUCCAAGCCACGCUGCCACCAGUUCGUCUUCCACCCUCUCCACCACACUUAUUCCUCUCCACCGAAAGCACCUUCUUUUUCCUCCACAACGACAGCAGCCCAUCAACACCAUCAUUUUCAUUUUCUUUCUUCUCCAGUAUCGGCAGCAGCAACACCGACUCCACCACAGACGCCGCCACCAGCUUCAGGGCGACUACUCGGACCACCUCCAACCUCACUCCAGGUCGGUGACAUCAACUGCUUCUCCCCCCGCAAGGUUGCCUCCCGCUCCACUCCGCGGGCUGCAACUGCAAAGUUGCAUAUAGAACGUGAACUUACUGUUCACGUUCUGCACAUAAUUCAUUUCACUUGGGUCAGGCCAGUUCUGGCCCAGACCAAAUGUUUGGGUCGGGUCCGGCCCCCAAAAAGGAGAGAAAGAAAGUAUGUUGGGCCGAUAUCGGCCCAAUCUUUUUGGGGCCUAUAUCGGCCCACUGUUUCUGGGUUUAUGUCUGGCCCAGUCAUCUGGGCCGGCCCAGCCCACCUGUUUUAAUAAUAUUUAUUUAAUAAAUAAUAUUAUAUUAUAUAUUUCUUUUAAAAAAAAAAACGAAAAAUUCCAAAAAAAUUUCAAAAAUCCUUUGAAAAAAAUUGUGAUUUUCUCAAAUAUUUUUUUUACCAAUUUUGCAUAAUAUUGGGUUGUAUAUUUACACUGUAAAAUACAAAUCAUGUAUUAAAAUACCUGGUUUUCUUUGAAAUAUUUCAAAAAAAAGAAAAUUAAAACAUUCUCAAAAAGAAAAAAUAUUUUAUUGCAUACGGCCAAAUCCUAAAAUUUUUCCAAGCAUAUUUUUCAUAUAAAAAAACGAAAACAAAAAUUGCAUCUUUUUGAUGUUUAAAAAAUCCAAAAAUGGAUAUCGUAACCAAUUUAUGAUUAUCCACUAGGAUUUGGUCAACAUGUCAAAAACCUUUUUCUAAUUUUUUUAGGGUCCAGAUGUAGACUUUAAUAUUUAUGGGUGUAAAAUUACACGAUAAAAUACACCCUCAAGUAUUAAAGAUACAAGGUGUAAAAAUACGAUGCUAAAAUUCAGACUUUAAAACUGUUAGGAUUUAACCCAAUAAGGUAGAGACUUUCUCAUGAAGAGAGAUUUGCCUUGAGCCUUAGAAAAGACCAACGAAUAGAAACCCAACUUGGAAAAAAACAAUCAAACAAUAAUGCAGCUUACCUUAAGUAGGGUGCAUUAGGGGUGAUGCAUCUUCCCCUUGCACAACCAGUCCCUUACUCAGACUCUCGCAGACCAUAGGUUCCUAGUGACCAUAAUACUAGGUGGUGACUCCUGAAUCUUAAUCAUAAUUUUAUGAUUAAAUCCAAAAAAAUCUUCCUAACACACAACACACCUCACAUAGGAGGCACGACAGAAAGCCUUCUUUGUCGCCAGACGACAUCGCACCGGCUCUUGCGCAUCCUGCGACAAAGAUAAUUUAAAAAAAAAACCAUAAUAAAAAAAUUAUGUGGGAAAAGACUGUAACAAUCCACAGUUAAAAAAAAAAAAAACUAAAUUUCUAACCAGCUUAAUAUAUAUAUAAAAAAAAAAAAAGUCUUCGGUGGCGAUUGAUAGCUAUGCGAUGAACUACUCAAAAUGCUAGAACAAUUGCAAAUCCCAGUUGCUAUGUAAUGGAACUUCCAGGCUAAGGCUCCUUUAAAUUACCUGCACGCCCGGCCUAGGAAAUUAUUAUUCUAAUUAUUCAACGACGACUUCAAGACUUGGCUGGCGUCGGGUGAUGACGAAGACAUUAUGACGUAGGUCUGCUGAAGUGGACCAAGUGUUCCAUGACAAUGCUGACUUCAGUUAUUUUUUAAUAUAUUUUUUUAAAAAUACAUCAAAAUAAUAUUUAUUAUUUUUUAAAAUUAAUUUUUGAUUUUAGUACAUUAAAAUAAUUUAAAAAUAUCAAAAAAAUAUAAAAUUUUUAAAAAACAUGAUUUAAUUGGAAAAAAAAAACAAAACCUCCUAGGGCUGUUUUAUUAUUAUCCUCGUUCCUCGAACUGUCUAAAUUAACAAGGAUACCCGCACUGCCUAAUUUCCCGGUCGUCAACGGUGGCGCCUCAUUCGAUAAUGGGGUAUCCUUUGGUAGGGCUGUUUUGUUUUAUUGUUAACUUUGUUUAGAAUUUUUCUUAUCAACCUGGUGGGGCCGGCCAUUGAGAAGUGGGUCUAGAAAAUUUGAUGCUGUCGAGAAAGGCCGUAGAUUCUAAACUUCGAUCUUAUCCAUGGAAUUAUAAAAAACAAUUAUUAAUUCAUGCACAUCAAAAAAGAUUCUAUAAGAUAAUAAUAAAGGCGAGGAGGUUGGCACAUACACGCGCGAGACCACGAAGCAACGUUGUUGGCUUUUGCUACCAGAAAAUGGAAAUCCAGUUAUACUUUACAGAUCAACUAAUGAUUUCACGAGAAUUAAGAAGGAAAGCAUUAAAUUUAUGGAAAUCUUUUCUUGGCAUGUGAGGGGAACGAGUCAGCAGUCUGGGUACAGUUGUUGGCUUUUGCUAACUUCUCCUGGCUAGCCAUUAAUCCUAUCCGUCUUUGGCCUCUCGUGAACAUGCGUUCUUUUUUAAAAAUAUUUUUUAUUUAAAAAUUAUUUUGGAUAUUAAUUUAUCAAAAUAAUCUGAAAAUAUUAAAAAAAAUUAAUUUUAAAAAAAUUAAAAUUAAAAUUUUAUUAAAAAUACUUUUAAAAUACAAAAACAAACACUAUAUAUAUAUAUAUAUAUAUAUAUAUAUAUAUAUAUAUAUAUAUAUAUAUAUAUAUAUAUGUUCUUCCACCAAAACAGGAUCCACCCUCUAGAACCCUUCAAAUAACUGCCAUGAACCCAAUUUCCACUUGCUCGAUUUCAUUUAUCAAGGACAUAUCAGUUACGAAAGAAAUGACAUUUCUAUUGGAUGGAUUUGUCUUGCUUAGCUCUGAGUUUAGAGUAAUGCUGCUUUCUUGAUUCUGAAAUCCGUCUCAACAGGUAAUGUGAGAAGGCAAAGAGGGGGGAAGAAGACUAUCCAGUUGCUUGGAUUGGACACUCUUGUUCCUUUUACGGUGGAGAUAGAAAGGUUUCAUAGUAUAAUGUUGCUUAAGUCACAAUCAGCCCUCUUUUUUUUUUAAUCUGCAAAACAAUUACAGGAAUAUUUGCACCAGAGGUGAAGCUGCUGCUGCUUCAUCCAGCCAGAAAGAAACAAAGAGAGUGGCACAAUGGAACCAUGCAUGCCACCUCUUCCCAAUUUUUUGACAGGACUGAUAAGCAUUUUCCUCUACGAAUGACGAAAACCUCAUAACAAGUGAUGGAGAUUUGAGAACAACAAGCAACCAUGGAUUCCCAAGUUUCAAAUGGGUCACAGGAUUCACAUAAACUUAGCCAAUCCGGUUAUUUAUUUUUGGUAUCGAAAUACAGGACAUGAAAAUCCUUCAGCAACACACCUCUUAAUUACAUAUCAAUAACAGGAAAGACAUCCACAUCUUCACACACAUGCAACAAACACCUUACAUCGCACGCUUCUUAUAGCAGAAAGCCCAUAAAACCAGAUACAAAGAGCGCUUGCCCGCUUAAGCUCUGCGGCACACAUCUCCAUCGCAGUUCCAUCCUUCCUUUCCCUUUGCCUUCUCCUCAAGCUCCUCCUCCAUUUGCUUUAGAUGUUCCUCGGUAAAUGGAAAAGCAUCUGCCCCGUAAGCUGUCAAGUGCAUCCGAGCUUCCUUGGUAAUGGUCCGGCCACUUGGGCCAAUCGCUACAGCUGCAGGAAUGCCUUGAAUUUUGAAUUUCCGACUCAGGAUUUGUUUCCUUUCAUCACCAAAUGGAAGGGCUAACCAAGGCAUUUCUGAAUAGAACUCGUCAAAGGUGGAUUGAUCUCUGUCGCUUGAGAUGAAGAUCACCUCAAAUGCGUUGUCUUUUCUUUUAAUUGUGUGGUAUGCUUCAAUUAGCUUGGGUAAAAAGGCACGACAAGGAGGGCACCAUUGAGCUGAGAAGUAAAGAAGAAUGUUCUUUCCAACUAGAUCGGACACUGGGACCUAAUCAAAGAGUAAACCAUUUGAAUGAUAAAAAAAACCUUUGCUAAUGAAUUCAAUUCGUGAUAAUAAGAAAGUUAUUGAAAGUAAUGCAAUAACAACAUGCGAGGUUAGCAUAGAACAAAAAAAAUUACCUUGGAGCCACUUUUGCCAAUCACAAAAUCAUUUUCCCCAUUAACCAAAACUGACUCAAGCGUCUGCGAUUCCAGUUUUGCCUUUUCAAUUGCAGCUAGCUCGUCAAGCUUUUCCGGUGUAAAUGGGUAGGCUUCGAUACCAUGUUCUUCGAUUAGUUCAGCUACAUUUGGGUUCAAAGUCUUCCCAUCUUGGCCAAUUAUAACAAGAUUAGGAAUGGUUCUAAGUUCAAAAUACCGCACUAGCUUCUCGCAGCUCUUGUCCUUCAAUGGCAAUGCCAACCAAGGCAUUGUCUCAAAACUCUCUUUGAAGUCUUCUUCUUCGUCGUCUAGAGAUAGUAGGACUACUUCAAAGUUCUCUCCUUUUUCCUUGAGCGUCUUAUACAAUUCCACUAGUUUAGGAGUGAAUUCACCGCACAUCCUAUGAGCAUGGACUGAAAAAUACAAGCCAACCAAUUUUCCUUCAAGGUCCGACACAGGGAUCUGCCAUUACAGAUAGCAAAAAUGUGAAUUAUGGCAUCAUCAAUUCAAUUUCAAAACUAGCUAAUUGAAUGAACCAUCUACCUUUUUUCCAUCAUUUGAAAUCACAUAAUCACGUGAGCUUGAAACCAAGAUAGAGCUUAUGGUUUGAUUCUUCUUAGCAUUCUCUUUAAGGAAAUUCAGUCUAUCAAGGUUGAACGGAUACCCAUCCACGCCAUGUUCCUUGACAGUGCUGACUCCAUUAUUAUCGCAGGAAACCUUACCAUUAGUAUCAAAAAUGACAAGUCUAGGGAUCCCUCUUACUUUGAACACUUCCUUAAGACGUUGGCGGGUCUCGGUUUCAGAGAAGGGAAUAGCAAGCCAUGGCAUUUCGGAGAAGUACGUGUUGAAGGAUUCAUCGUCUCCAUCAGAAGAAAUGAAGACCACCUCAAAGUCCCCUUUGGAUGAUAGGUGUUCAUAGACUUCUACCAACAAUGGAGUGAAAUUACGGCAUGGGCCGCACCACGAACCAGAGAAAUAGAAUCCCACAAUCUUCCCAACCAAAUCGCUGACCUUGACCUAAAAAUUAAUGUCGAACAUUAUCAGAAAAAAACAUCAGCCCUUGACGAAUCAAAAUCUUAUUCAUGGUUUCUUUCUCUUGCCAGUGAGAAGCAACAAAAAAAAGAGCCUUUUCUUAAUCAUAAAAGCUUCACAAAUUGGUCAUAAAUUUGUUCUUCAGCAAGGCUUGCAGUCUAAUUUAAACAUGAUAUUCAUCUUAAUUACUAGAAAAACCUACAAGUUCAUAUAAAAAAAGACGUCAACUUAUAAUAAGACAAGAAGAAGUAGAAUUGAAUAAGAUCAGAUCGAGGAACUCAUAUGCUAAAAGCAGUACCUGAUCACCAUUGUUGCGGAUGAGAAAGUCCCUCUCUUCUGAAGAAAGAAGCGUUGAAAGGUCGAGGGAAACGUCUUCGGUGGCCAUAGUUAGCUAUGUGAUGAACUACUCAAAAGGCUAGAACAAUUGCCAAUCCCAGUUGCUAUGUAAUGGAACUUCCAGGCUAAGGCUCCUUUAAAUUACCUACACGCCCGGCCUAGGAAAUUAUUGUUCUAAUAAUUCAACGACGACUUCAAGACUUGGCUGGCGUCGGGUGAUGACGAAGACAUUAUGACGUAGGUCUGCUGAAGUUGUUGGUAUUAGCAUUAUCACGGGCUUUUACAACUCUCCUCUUGCUUUUUUUUUUUUUUUAAUCUCUUUUUUUUUGUUUUUGUUUGUAUUCUAGUUUUAUCCAUGGUUUGAUAAAAAUUUUUGUGAGUUUGUUAUUAAAUGUAUUUUGUGUUUUAUCUUUUUAAUAAAAUCUUUAUAUUUCUUGAUACAAAAAAAUCCUUAAUUGGUUUUUUUAAUUAAAAAAUUAUUCUCUUUUGUUUUUGAUGCAUUUGAAAAUGAAUUUUUCUAUCAAUUUUUUUUUCUAAUAUAAAUCAAUAAUCAUAUGUAAAGCAUAGUUGAAAUGAACGAACGAACAAACAAACUAUAUACAUGACAUCUUACAUAGGAAGCUUAGGAAAGGGUGAAGGCCAAGAAUAAUGUAAAAUAAAACCUAUGACUCCACUACCAAUAAUGUAAAAAUAAUUAUUGAGAAAAAUAAAUCAUAAAAAUAUACUUCCAGCUCCAGUCAUCCAAAGCUUCUUAAGUCUCAGAAAAAAAAAACAUUUAACACAAACCUCAAUAAAAUUCAUAUGCUAAUUAAAUUCAGAUUUUUGUAACGUAGUCUAUUUUCUAUCAAAUGUGACUUGAUAAUAAUCACAUGCAAUUUAAUAGACAGGCUAAAAUCCAAACUUGAUAUAGUUCUUGGGUUAUAAUAGAGUUUUUCAAUAAUAAAACUCUUAACUUCUUUUUUUUAAAAAAAUAAUGAUAUUGCAUAUAUUUAAUAAUUAUAAAUAAAAUUAUAUUGUGUAUUUGAGCCAUGUCAGGACUCUAUUUCAAUAAAGAGACCCUAUAUUUUCAGGGGAGAAAAAAAGAGUUUUUAAAUGCAAUACUUUGUCAUAAGUCGUGACUUUUCCACACUCAAAAGGGCACCAUACAUAUAUGUCAUUAUACUUUAUCUCCAAACGUAAUUAAAUUAGUCAAUUAAUUGUAAGUGAGGGAAGUUAAUGAAUUUCCACUCUAAUUAAAAUGUUCAAAUUCAUUAUUCGCUUUCAACUUUAUCCUGAUUAAAUCAGGUUAAGUAGAUGACUUUCUUCAUUCGCGGGUAUCCACCAGAUAUCCUAAUCUAUUUUUUAAUUAAUUUUAUAAAAAUCAAACCCAAAUUUAAAAAAAAAAAUCCUUUAUUUAUGAAUCGUAAAACUAUGAAAUUAAAUUAAAUAUAAAACCAAGAGAUCUGGUUAGUUUAGUGUUGUUGCAAUGUGGACAAAAACUCAAAAUAUCACGGAUUGAAAUAGUGUUGUUUGUUUUUAAAAACAUUUUCAUUAUAGUCACCAAACACUUUUUAAAAUUUCUUUUAUCUUUGAAAUUUCAUUAUAAUAAUCAAUUACACCCAGUCUUUCACUGUAUAUGGGAACGAAAAUCAGCAUUUUUUUUUGUACAACUUUCUUUUCAUAACGUAAAGUAAAUCCAUCUCUUCAAUCCGAUCAAGUUGACGACAAAAUGCAAAAGAACAAAACAUAGCAUUAGCAUCCAAGUUGAUUUGUUUGGAAUUACAAGUAGAUGUGAGAAUGUGGGGUCAUUUCUUGAUUGGGAUAUUUCAGGGAAAAGGAAAAUAAUUAGAAAAAACAGUGGUGUGCUAAGAUGAAGAUGGAGGCUAGGAGCACUUACCGGUGCGAAGGAGAGACACGAAGGCCUAAAAUGUAAGCAACUUUGGUGUAAACAGGGACGGGUUUGGAAAGGUCAUUAUUAUUGAUGACAUUGUAGGAGUAGUUGUUUUUCACAGUUCUUGAAAGCUUUUUGCCACGUGUAACGGUUUUGAUGCAACCUCUUAUCAUCCCCACUAUCUCUUCACCUAUCCCCAAUGCUGUUUUUUUUUUUUUGAAAAAUUAAAUGUCAUUAUAUUAGAGUGAUGUUCAAAAUAGAAUCUUAUUUUAUUGCAUAAAAAAAUUUAAGACUUUAAGACGGGGGUUGACAGUUAGCAAUAUCAAAGAACCAUCUUAACCCAAUAGCUUAAGCUUUCAAGUGACGUCCCAAGAUAUGAUUUAUAGUAUUCUCUAACACACCCCCUCAAGUAAAAGCUCUUUGGGCUUGAAACUUGCACAGACCCACAUUACCUUGUGCUUAAUUUUUAUCAAAUAAAUAGGGAUGGUGAGAUUCGAACUCGUGACCGCUUGAUUAUCAAGGCUCUGAUACCAUGUCAAUGAACCAUCUCAACCCAAUAGCUUAAGCUUUCAUGUGAGGUCCCAGAAUAUGAUUUAUAUUAUUCUCUAACGAGUAAGAAUUUAAGGUUUUUUUAUUUGAUAAAUGUUCAUUUAACAUCAUUUUACUUUGAAAAAUUUAUGUUUUGAUACAAAACUCUAUUUUAAUCACAUUUCAGAUUAUAAGUUUUAGAAAAAAGAAAAAAAUUCAUUAAAAAUAGCGAAAGAGAGAGAAACACAUACACUGACAAGGUUUUGUUUGUGAAAAUAGCUUAAAUGUGUGUCAAUAUGUUAUUCUUGACAAGAAGAGUGCUACUAUAAUGUUUUUAAGCUUUAUAUUGUCAAAAAAGAUAAAUCGAGGUUGAAAGAGUUAUUUUUAAGUUAAACUUUGUGUUUUAAAAUUAUUUUAGAGUUUCUUUUUAGUUGAUGGAUUAGUUUAGAGGCAAUUUAAAAGUAUUUAUAAGAUGUUUUUAGAUAAAAACAUAUUAAAAAAUAGAAUUUUAAAUAAAAAACUCCAACCCAAUUCUUUAACCACUUCUCUAUUAUAUAAAAAAAAAAUAAAGCAAAUGAUGCGACAAAAAAAUAAAUCAAGCAAAUGAUUGUCAUUUGUUUUAUAAAAAAAAUAAAAUAAAGGACAAAUACUAUGUCAUCCAUCAAAGAAAAAAUAAAAUGGCUCUCAUCUUUUGGAUAAGCAUGCCGAGUCACUUGGCCCCACAAACAUGGCUUGUUUUUAGCUUCUCUUUUUUUUUUUUUAUGAAUCUUUAUCCUUGAGUUUUAAUUUUAUUUCAUUAAAAUUAAUUAUUUAAAAACACAUAAGGAUAUUAUUUUAGUAAAUACUUAAAUUAUUAAGAAUAUAUACGAAAUAUUAUUUUAUUAGAUAUCAUUUAAUUUUUAUUUUAUUUUAAAAUAAAAUUAUAAUGUUUUUUUUAUAAUAUUAGUAAGAGAUUUUUUUGGACUGAUAUUUCUUAUCUUCGCAUAUUCGCUGUCAAAGACUAUAAUAAUAGAUUCCAUGGAAAACAUUAAGGGUGUGAUUCAACUACUAAAUGAUAAUCGACUAAAAGAGUGUUUGGAGUCCACCCGUAUUUUUAAAAUAUUUUAAUUUUUUUAAUAAAAAUUAAUAUUUUUUUAUAUUUUGGAUUGUUUUAAUGCAUUAAUUUUAAAAAUAAUUUUUAAAAAAUAAAAAAAUAUUAUUUUGAUACAUUUCAGAAUGAAAAACACUUUGAAAAGCAAUCAUAACCACGCUCCCAAACAAGACAUGUUUAAAAAUGUGAUAGAAGUUGAGUUUUAAAAUAUUUUUUACUCAGAAAUAUAUUAAAAUAUAUAUUUUUUAAUUUUAAAAAAUUUAUUUUUGAUAUCAAUAUAAUAAAACAAUUCAACAAUACUAAAAAAAAAAAUUAAAUUUUAAACAAAUAAUAUUUUGCUUCAUUGAGCUAUAAACAAAAUAAUCAAAUUUUUAAUCUAUUUGUCACAUCAUGAAACAUGAUGAUCAUUAAUUAGCAAACACCACCAUGUAGGAAUCACAUGUGACACUUUAAAUUCAUCAUACCAAAUUGAUCAAAUUAUAACGUAAUCCCUAUAUUUUUAAGAAAUUAAUAGCUCACUCCCUUUAUUUAAAAGAAGCCAUAUUUUACCUCCCAUGUUAUCAUUUCCAUUUACUAUAACUUAGUUCUUCCUUUAGUUUUACAUUAUAAAAGUGCUAAACCAUUACUUUAGGUAUUAGUACAAAAAAAGUAUAUAUUAACGGAUUGACGGUCAAACCUUCUCAAUUGAGUAACUUUUUUUAUUUUUUUUUAUUAACAUGGGUAUUCGGGACAGUUUACGCGCAUCUUGACUAAUCCCAUAAACUCUGAAGUUAAUAAUCAUGUAAGCCUCCAGUAACUAUUAUAUUAGCAACCACAAGAUUUGAACCUGAGACCACAGGGAGAGUAAACCCCUUGGUCACCUACUAGAUGAUUAACUUUUUUUUUUAAAAAAAAACAGAAGGACUAACAUAUUGGUUUAUUGAGAAUACGAGGAUUCAAUUAUAAUUUACUUCAGGAAACAAAUAUGAUGCUAUUGACAUCCCCACAAGUGAACUGGCACAAUUAUUGUUUAUAUAAAAUUUCAAAAUGAUUUAUUCUUAAUUUUAACAUUUUAUUUUUAAAAUUUUAUUGUAAUGAAGUGACAGAGUAUGCUAAGAGUAUACCAAAAUAAAACACUGUUGUUUUAAUAUAAAAAUUAAUUUACAGGUUGACUGGAUAGCCUUAUAACCUAGAUGUUUUUCGAAGUUAGUUUUGAAUGAAUGGAGUGUUAUUAGUUAGUUCAGCGUGAUAAUUGGACUGAAAAUCUUUCGUUCUAAAUUAUCAACCAUUCAGAAUUGUUUUGUGCGUGAGGAUGCCAAAUUACCAAAACUAAACCCUAUUUAUAAUCCAUCACCUAUCAAUAGUGAUGUAAGAGUUCCAGCUUGUUUUCUGCAGCUGUGCCAAAACCUGGAGGGUCUAUACUAGCCCAGCAGUCCUUCCCCCGUCGUAAGGUAAGAGCCCAGCACCAGCAGUGUCCUUCCUCCGUCGUAGAGGGGUCCAUACACGAGAUGGCCAGAGAUAGUAAGUGAUUUCGAAAUAUUACAUUUCAGAUUAAGGUUGUCAAUUCCGUUCCGUUUCGCCCGGAAUGACCGAAACAUUCUAUACCAAUUCAAAAAACGAAACAAAACGGAACAAAUUUCAUCUCAUUUUAAAUCUCGGUCCGUUCCGGAUUUUUCGGCUAAAUUCCACCCGGAACGUUCCUGUUUCAUUCCACAUGUUCCGUUCCGCUCUUGAAAAGUCAUUGAAUCAAAUUGAACCUUGUUCAAUUUAAUUAAUUAAACCACCCAAUUAUAAAAAGUUUUUUUUCAUUAUAAUUUUCAAUAACAAUGAUAUUAAUAAUAAUAUUGAAAAUUAUUAUUACUAUUUUCAUUAACAAUGAUAUUAAUUUUUUAAAAUUAGAUUUAUCACUAAUAUAUAUGGUUUAUAUUCAUGUUGUUUUUUUCAUGUUUAUACUUUGUAGGAAUUUGAGCAAAAUAAAGGAUGCUUUAGAUUUCAUUAGCCUUGAUAAUAUUAACCUAGCUUUAUAUUUAAAAUAUUUGUGUUAAAACAUUUUAUUUUCAUAAUAUUUUGAUAUUUUGUUUAAGUUGAAUUACUUUAAGUUAAAGAUCUAUUUAAUCUUGACUAUUUAGAAAUAUUUUAAAUUUUAAAAUUAUAUUUGUUUGGCAUUGUGUUUGUAUUGCAUAAUUUAUAAUUAAUUUAUCUUGAAUUUGAAUUAUGUUUGUUGAAUAUAUAUAUAUAUAUAUAUAUAUGAACAGUACAACCCCGAAACGGCACGCCGAAACACUCCGAAACUGAAACAUUCCAUUCCAAUUGAAAAACGAAACAUCUAUCAAAACAGAAUUGACAACCUUGUUUCAGACUGCAACAAAUGAUAAGGUUUUGUGGCUGUCAUGGCGAAGGCAAAUUAAAGCACAUGAGAUUCAGUGGUGAGAAGCUAUGGAAAGUGGCAAAAAGAAACUGCGAGAACAUGAAACACGCAUUUGAACAUGAAAAAGUAAAUAAGCUGAACAUAAUUAAUGGGCCAUAGAAGCGAAGGUUUUUUCAAUGGCUUCAAACUUUUUGGCAGCGUGCUUGAUUGUUGUCGCCGAAUUUCUUGGCAGUGUGCUUGCUUGAAUUGCGGAUGUAUCACAUGGAUGAUAUUUUCGUUCUUUCGAGGCAUCAAAUAAUAUGGUGUCACGAGAAUUAAGCAAAUAGAAAAGCAUUAAAUUUACGGAAAUCUUUUCCUGUGGUCUUGGUGUAGUUGUUGGCUUUGCUAACUUCUACAAUCAAAUAAUAUGAAUGAAGCUGGUUCUUCAUCCAGCCAAAUAGAAACAAAGAGAGCGGCACAAUGGCAUCAUGCAUAGCAUUUUCCUUUAGGAAUGACAAAAACCUCAUAUCAAGUGAUUGAGCUAUGAGAACAACCAUCAACCAUGGAUUCCCAAGUUUCAAAUGGGUCACAGGAUUCACAAAAACACACAGAGCUGUUUAUUUAUUUUUCGUAUCCAAAUACAGGACAUGAAAACCCUUCAGCUUCACACUUCUUAGAUACAUAACGAUAACAGGAGAGACAUCCCCACUAUAUUCACACACAUGCAACAAACAUCUUCCAUUGCAUACUUACUACAGCAGAAAGCCCAUAAAACCCGACACAAGCAGCGCUUGCCUGCUUAAGCUCUGCGGCACACAUCUCCAUCGCAGACCCUUCCUUCCUUUCCCUUUUCACUUCCAGUAUCUUCAUCUUCCUUCAAAGCACACUUAGGGUGAAGAUCAAAGUCACAUUGUUUGCAAAAGAAAGACCACCUAUAUCCCGUUUCCCCACAGCCAUCGCAACCGUAUGCACUGCGUUUAGUACGUAUCAGCUCAUGCUCAGUAUGUAGUUCGUGUUUCACUUUCUCUGGCCACCCCUUCGCCUUUUCCUCAAGCUCCUCCUCCAAUUGCUUUAGAUGUUCCUCGGUAAAUGGAAAAGCAUCUGCCCCGUAAGCUGUCAAGUGCAUCCGAGCUUCCUUGGUAACGGUCCGGCCACUUGGGCCAAUCGCUAAAGCUGCAGGAAUGCCUUGAAUUUUGAAUUUCCGACUCAGGAUUUGUUUCCUUCCAUCACCAAAUGGAAGGGCUAACCAAGGCAUUUCUGAAUAGAACUCGUCAAAGGUGGAUUGAUCUCUGUCGCUUGAGAUGAAGAUCACCUCAAAUGCGUUGUCUUUUCUUUUAAUUGUGUGGUAUGCUUCAAUUAGCUUGGGUAAAAAGGCACGACAUGGAGGGCACCAAUGAGCUGAGAAGUAAAGAAGAAUGUUCUUUCCAACUAGAUCGGACACUGGGACCUAAUCAAGAGCAAACCAUUUGAAUGAUAUAAAAAACCUUUGCUAAUGAAUUCAAUUCGUGAUCAUAAGAAAGUUAUUGAAAGUAAUGCAAUAACAUGCGAGGUUAGCAUAGAACAAAAAACAUUACCUUGGAGCCACUUUUGUCAAUCAAAAAAUCAUUUUCCCCAUUAACCAAAACUGACUCAAGCGUCUGCGAUUCCAGUUUUGCCUUUUCAAUUGCAGCUAGCUCGUCAAGCUUUUCCGGUGUAAAUGGGUAGGCUUCAAUACCAUGUUCUUCGAUUAGUUCAGCUACAUUUGGGUUCAAAGUCUUCCCAUCUUGGCCAAUUAUGACAAGAUUAGGAAUGGUUCUAAGUUCAAAAUACCGCACUAGCUUCUCGCAGCUCUUGUCCUUAAAAGGCAAUGCCAACCAAGGCAUUGUCUCAAAACUCUCUUUGAAGUCUUCUUCUUCGUCGUCUAGAGAUAGUAGGACUACUUCAAAGUUCUCUCUUUUUUCCUUGAGCGUCUUAUACAGUUCCACUAGUUUAGGAGUGAAUUCACGGCACAUCCUAUGAGCAUGGGCUGAAAAAUACAAGCCAACCAAUUUUCCUUCAAGGUCCGACACAGGGAUCUGCCAUUACAGAUAGCAAAAAUGUGAAUUAUGGCAUCAUCAAUUCAAUUUCAAAACUAGCUAAUUGAAUGAACCAUCUACCUUUUUUCCAUCAUUUGAAAUCACAUAAUCACGUGAGCUUGAAACCAAGAUAGAGCUUAUGGUUUGAUUCUUCUUAGCAUUCUCUUCUUGCUCUUUAAGGAAAUUCAGUCUAUCAAGGUUGAACGGAUACCCAUCCACGCCAUGUUCCUUGACAUGUCUGACUCCAUUAUCGCAGGAAACCUUACCAUUAGUAUCAAAAAUAACAAGUUUAGGGAUCCCUCUUACUUUGAACACUUCCUUAAGACGUUGGCGGGUCUCCGUAUCAGGGAAGGGAAUAGCAAGCCAAGGCAUUUCGGAGAAGUAUGUGUUGAAGGAUUCAUCGUCUCCGUCAGAAGAAACGAAGACGACCUCAAAGUCCCCUUUGGAUGAUAGUUGUUCAUAGACUUCUACCAACAAUGGAGUGAAAUUACGGCAUGGGCCGCACCACGAACCAGAGAAAUAGAAUCCCACAAUCUUCCCAACCAAAUUGCUGAACUUAACCUAAAAAUUAGUGUCGAGCAUAAUCAGAAAAAAAAAAAAAACAUUAGCCCAUAAAUUAAGAGGGUAAACAAAAACUGAGGCUUUUCUUAAUCAUAAAAGCUCUAGAAAUUGGUCAUAAACUUGUUCUUCAGCAAGGGUCGCACUCUAAUUUAAACAUGAUAUCCAUCUUAAUUACGAGAAAAAGUUUAAUAAGACAAGUAGAAGUAGAUCGCAUAAGACCAGAGAAAUCCAUAAGCUAAAAGCAGUACCUGGUCACCAUUGUUGCGGAUGAGAAAGUCCCUCUCUUCCGACGAAAGAAGGGAUGAAAGGUCGUGCGAAACGUCUUCGUUGGCCAUUGUUAAGUGAUGAACUACUCAAAAUGCUAUAACAAUUGCCGAUUCCAAACGCUAUUUAUUGGGACAAACUGGGAUGGUUCCUUUUAAGUUACUUGCACAGCACGCCUAGGGAAUUAUCAUACGUCAACGAUGACAUGUAAAUUUGGAUGGUGAUGCCAAAUUAAAACAUCAUUCUCCUUAUCUAAAUACCAUAGUUAUUAAACCCGGCCCGGGGGUUGACCCGGCCAAGGGACCGGGUCCCGGGUUUCAUGGGUCAACCCGGGUCAACCCGGAUUAACCCGGAAAAAUUAAAAAAAAUUAAAGUUUUAAUAUUUCAUAUGAAAAAAUCUAUGUAAAUAUAGAUUAUACAUAUUAUGAAGUUUAAAAUAAUAUUUUAAAAAGUUUUUUAUCCCACAUUGAAAAAACAUAACUUUUUUCUUAGAAACAUAGAGUAUAUAUACUAAUGAGUUUCAAAUCCCACAUUGAAAAGAUAAUAUAUUAUCCUUUUAAGUUGAAGUAUUUAAACCAAAAGGUUUUUUAUCCCACAUUGAAAAAACAUGAUUUUUUUCUUGGGAACAUAGAGUAUAUAUAUUAAUGGGUUUCAAAUCCCACAUUGAAAAAACAUGGUUUUUUUUUCAUGGGAACAUAGUGUAUAUAUAUGAAAGGGUUUCAAAUCCCACAUUGAAAAGAUAUCAUGUUAUCCUUUUAAGUUGAAGUAUUUAAACCAAAAAGUUUUUUAUCCCACAUUGAAAAAACAUGGUUUUUUUCAUGGGAACAUAGUGUAUAUAUAUGAAAGGGUUUCAAAUCCCACAUUGAAAAGAUACCAUGUUAUCCUUUUAAGUUGAAGUAUUUAAACCAAAAGGUUUUUUAUCCCACAUUGAAAAAACAUGAUUUUUUUCAUGGGAACAUAGUGUAUAUAUAUGAAAGGGUUUCAAAUCCCACAUUGGAAAGAUACUAUGUUAUUUUUUUAAGUUGAAGUAUUUAAACCAAAAGGUUUUUUAUCCCACAUUGAAAAAACAUGGUUUUUUUCAUGGGAACAUAGUGUAUAUAUAUGAAAGGGUUUCAAAUCCCACAUUGGAAAGAUACUAUGUUAUCCUUUUAAGUUGAAGUAUUUAAACCAAAAGGUUUUUUAUCCCACAUUGAAAAAACAUGAUUUUUUUCAUGGGAACAUAGUGUAUAUAUAUGAAAGGGCUUCAAAUCUCACAUUGAAAAGAUACUAUGUUAUCCUUUUAAGUUGAAAUAUUUAAACCAAAAGAUUUUUAUCCCACAUUGAAAAAACAUGGUUUUUUUCAUGGAAACAUAGAGUAUAUAUACUAAUGGGUUUCAAAUCCCACAUUUGAAAAAAAAAAAAAAAAAAAAAACCCGGGUCUCGUCCGGGUCACCCGGGUUCCGGGUUGACCCGCCGGGUCGCCCGGGUUUGGCCGGGCUGUUGCCACAGCCGGUCUUUUAUUAAACCCGGCCCGGUCCAGCCACCGGGUCGACCGGGUCCCGGGUCGACCCGCCGGGCCGGGCCGGGUUUAAUAACUAUGCUAAAUACCAGUAGGUUCGAGAAACUGGUAUUAAACAUGCUUUCCCACGUGCUUUUACACACCUCCUUUUGCUUUUUUGUUUAAAAAAGAAAAAGAAAAAGAAAAAAACAUAUUUUUUUUUUUUUAAUUUCUCUCUCUUUUGUUUUAUCCUUAUUUCUUUUCCUUUAAAGAUUCAUACAGUCACCCAGUCACUCUUCACUUUUUACCUUAUUAGUUUAUACAGCUGGGUCAGGCAAGGAUUUAGUCUAGCAGCCAUAACAUUGGGUCUCAUAUAGUUGCUUGUCUAAGCAUCUUGGAUCAUCAGGCAUGGAUUAGGUGUAACAGGCAAGCCAGUUCCAAUUCAUGGGUAUGGUAUAAUUACCCUCAUAAUUAUCACAUUGAGCUUGCCUCUGCAGGUCAACCAAAGAUCCGGGUAAUCUAGGACCUUAGUUAGGUAUAUUUAAUUUAAAAUUCAGGUCUGUAAUUGGCCUAAAUAAAACCGGUCAUCUUGUUAGGUUAACUCGGAAUUUGAUUGACCCAGUAAAACUCAAUAGAUACCUGUUUUUUUAAAAUAUAUUUUUUCUCUUAACUAGAGAUCCUUUUCUUUCAUAUUUUUUAGUUGGUUAUAACUUAUUUCAAAGUUCACUAUAUAAAUACUAGAAGAAUGUUUUUAUUUUUUUAAUGUGAGAUUUGAAGCACUGUAGUAUAUAUACUCUAUGUUUACAAGAAAAAAGUUAUGUUUUUUCAAUGUGGGAUAAAAAACCUUUUUGAUUUAAAUACUUCAACUUAAAAUAAUAUGAUAAUAUCUUUUAAAUGUGAGAUAAAAAAUCUUUUAAAAUAAUCUUUUAAAUUUAAUUAUUUACAACAUGUAUAGCCUAUAUCCACACAGAUUGUUUCUUAAUUUUUUUCAUAUGAAAUAUUAAAACCUCAUAUAUUUUUUUAAAAUUUUUCCAAGUUGACCCAGGUCAACCCGUGAAAUCCGGGUCUCGGCUCCUGGGCCGGGUUUGAUAACUAUGGGUGCAAUAAAAAUAUAACUUUAAAGAAUGCAAUUAAAAAAAAUAAAGUGACGUGACCGGUUAAAAAAAUAAAAACUAAAAAAAUGUACAGAACCUCAUUUUUAUUUUUAUUUUUGCUCAGGGAGCCUCUUUUAAAUAAUAUUGAUUUUUUUUGUUAUGUGUUUAAUUUUCGGAGUGGUUUUUUUGGUUCAUCUAUGGUUUUGUUUUUAUUUUUUAUAUAGAUAAAAUAUGUUUUUGAAAAUAAAAAAUGUUUAAAUUUAGAUGAUAUUUUUAAUGUGUGUAGUUUUACAUGUUAUUCUUUUUUUUUAUUCAAUCAAUUUAAUGUAUUAUUUUUCACGAUUCAAUAUAUUAAUCUACAUUUAUCUCUCGAUUUUUUAAGUUUUGUUUUUAGAUGUCAUAAAUAAUUUUUUAUUGAUUUAUUAGUGCACAUAAUUCUUAGUUUAUUUGAUUACUUAUGUGCAUCAACAUUUUGAUUUGUUAUAGUUUUUGAACUAUCAAAAUACAUUGAAAAAACCUGUAUAAAUAUUUUUUUAUAAAAAUAAAAAUAUUUAACUUACAGUAAAGCGGGACACGUAGCUAAUAAAUUCUAUUAAAUGAGUUAGCAAGGUAGAAAACAAACUUGUAAUAGAUUUGUGCACAUUGUCAUUUCACCAUAAGUUACAUUAGCUCUCAAAACUUUUACGUAGAAACUUAUAAUACUAGAACUAACCAAACAUACUACCAGAAAUGUACUAAUCUUGCAACAAAAUAAGAAUCAACACAUCAAAUUUCCUUAGUGCCUUUGAAACAUAAAAUGUAAAUUAUUAGGGCACAAUUAAUAAUAACUUAUAGGUAAUAAUUAAUCUUCAUCAAAUAUGCUAAAUAACAUAAAUCAACUUUGUCAAACAUAAUUAUUGUGAACAUUGAUAUUUUUUUUAGCCCUGUUUGUUUCAUGAAAAAUGGUUUUUUAGAAAUUAUUUUCCAAACUUUUCUGUGUUUAUUUGUCAUUAGAAAAAUUAAUCAACAAAAAAAACUUUCCAAUCAAAGAAAAAUUUAACUUUGUUUCUAGAAAAGUGUUUUUCUUUUAUUUUGGGUGGAAAACACUUUCUAGAAGUUGUGAAAAAUUUAGAAAUGUCUUGUUAUUUGCUGAUUAUAUCAAAUUUGAUCCUCAAACUUUUAAUUGUUAUAUAUUUUGUUUUGAUUUUUUUCUUUCAAUUUCAUCAUUUAGAAUUUGAUUUAAUUUGAUUUUUAUAUCAAUUUUGGUCUUUAUUUUUAUUAUUGUUAUUUGCUUUUCUCUUGUCAUUUUCUUAAUUGAAAUUUUUUUAUCUAUCAAAUCUAGUCCUUAUUUUUUUUAUUGUUAUUUAUUUUAUUUGAAAUAAUUUAUAAAAUUAUAUAUUUUUUUAAUUUCAUCAUCUUUCAAUGUUUUUAUUUGUUAGAUUUGAUCUCUAUUAUUUUGAUUGUUAUUUAUUUUAUUUGAGAUAAUUUAUGAAAUUAGAUUUUUUUAAUUUUAUUAUCAUUUAAAUUUUUAAUUUGUAAUAUUUGUUCCUUAUUAUUUUAAUAAACUUAAAAAAAAAUAAUUUAUUUUCCAGCUCAUUUUGCAUGAUAUAGUUAAAUACUAGAAAAUGUUUUUAAAUUUUUUUGUUUUAUGAUACUAUCAAAAAUCAAAAAAAUAAUUUACUUUUUAAAAAUUUAAUUUUCAAGAAAAUUACCUUUUUUAAAAAAAUAUAUGUUUUUAGCAAAGAAAGGGGUUAAUGUUAAAUUUUUUUAUAUAUGACAUGGGGGCAGAGUGCAAGCCAGCUAGCCGGAUAGUCUUUGGUGGAUGUUCUUUAUACGAUUUUUUUUAGAUGGAAAUCUGAGCUUUAUUGACCAUGUAUGUCUUGCCAAGUGGCUUCUUUUCUUUCCUUAACUGUCAUGUCUCAUUUGAUAAUUGGGAAUUCCUGUCAGGGCUUCUUUAUUUUAUUGUUAUAUUAGUUUGGUUUUGUGUUUUUUUAAUCAAGUUGGUGGGUCCAGAAAUUAUGAUGUCGUCAAGGUUCUUUCCUCGACUUGUCUCUAAUUCUUGAAUAUAUUAACAAAACUUUUAAAAUACGUAAAAAUUAAAUAUACUAUAAAUCAACAAACAAUUUAUUUGGAUUUAUUUUUUUAUAUAUAUAGACACACACACUGUAAAUCAAGACAUAAUUAACUAUGAACUUGCAUAGUUAUUUUACUAUAUAUUAAAACAUUUGGAAAAAACACUGGAGAUUUACUAUGAACACAAACACAUUGUUCUAUGAAAGACACUAUGUCAUAGAGUAUUUGCACUGUGGACGACACUGUAGCACCCUGGGAGCGUUCCUUUCCUUUGUUUUUAGUCAAGAAUUGCGGCUGGGGGUGUGACAUUCUUUGCCGAAAGCCGUUGGGUCUGCCUUUGGUAGCUGGACCUAACGCUGUUGGGUCUGGUUGACAAGUCAGACCCAAAACACUUCCAAAACAUGUCAAUAGCGUUGGGUCCUGCAUCCCAGCCAGACCCAACAGAGUAUUUGACUGUGGACACAGAGUGUUUGACUGUGGAUGACACUGUCUGUAGCGCCUGUCAGAGGCGUUAUCUUUUCUGUUUGUAAGUCAGAAAGGGUUGUUGGGUCGUUGCAGCAGGACCCAAUAGCUUUGGGUCCUGCUGGAACCAUUAGAGUUUGGUCUUGCCCUAGUAGGACCCAAGACUGUAAUUUUUUUUCCUUUUUCAUACGGGUAUGGCUGCGUAACCAGACCCAACAGCCAUACCCCAAUUAAAUUUCUUGGCCGUUACCUUCUCUAAUUUAAAUUUAUUUUUUAAAAUAAAUUGAUUGUACUGUGGACACCACUAUAGCACCUUCCCAGAUCGAUCCCAGCUUUAUCAUCUACACACGCACGCACAUGCACUUUUUUCCUUUGUCGACAAGGAAUUAAAGUUGAUCAAUGCAAGAAAGUAGUAAGAUCACUGACAUCGGCAUACGAAGAUUGUAAAAAAAAUUGAUUUCCUUUGGUGGAUGGAUUGGGAAUCCAUGUUAUCACAUAUGUGAGAAUUCAAUCCCGCAUGCCUCUGUACAUUGUAAAUAUAUAUCUUUUUCACUACAGUAUAACACCACCAUUGAAUAUUAAUGGAAGACCAUUGAUCAAUAAGGACGACUGGCUUCCAAACCCAGUAGCCAUACCUAAUUAAAUUUCUUUGUCGUUGCCUUCUCUGACUUAAAUUUAUUUCUUAAAAUAAAUUGAUGAUAUUUUUUUUUAUAUUGUAUCAAAGUUGUGUGAUGAUAAUUUUUUUUUCCAUUUCAAGUUGGGUUGAAUUUCCUAAUUAAAUCAUGUUUGAUUUUGCGUUUCAGAAAUUCUUUGAAAUUUUUUUGACAAUUUUUAAGUUUUUUUCUUUGCUUCAAAUUAAUAUUUUUGUUAUGUUUUUGUAUUUUUUUAAAAAAAUAUAUGUUGAGAUUUUGUCUGGCUGGGAUGUUAGACCAAGAAAUUUUUUAAUUUUUCAAUUUUUUUCUUUACUUCAAAAUAAUAUUUUCUUCAUGUUUUUGUAUUAUUUUUUAAAUAAUUUUUUUUAAAAAAUAUAUAUUGAUAUUGUGUCUGGUUGAGAGGUGAGAACCAAGAAAUUUAAAUUUUUUUAAUUUUUUCUUUAUUUUAAAUUAAUAUUCUUUUGAUAUUUUUGUAUUAUUUUUCAAAAAAUUAUACUGAAAUUGGGUCUGGCCGCGUAGCCAGAUCCAUGGCUGCGUUGGCCCCUGCCUUCCAGCAUGACCCAACAGCGUUGCCCACUACUCAUAAUAGGACUCAACGCUUAAUUGGACCCUGCUGCCUCCAUGCCCAACAACUUUUGCAACUAGGACCCAACAACGGUGGGCUCGGUCUCCGAGCAGGACCCAAUAUGCGUUGCCAGCCUGGGCGAUUGGGUCCUUUCCGCUGAAGGCACUUGACUGUGUAGCAAGCAUCGAAAACACAAGCUCAGUAGCAAUUCAUUUUUGCAACUAGACAGGCUAUAAACAAGCCUAUAAGCCCUUUUUUCUCUUAAAGAGAGAGAUUCAUACUUAUCAAUAUUACAAGGGAAAGAAAAGAUCCGAAACCGAAAAGGGAUUAUCUUGAUUUGAUUGCUUUCUAAAUAGGAUGUGCAUUUCUCCUAGAACCAGUUGGCUUACAGGCUUACAGGGAACCAAAAAUGCUUGGAAGUGACAAUUAGAUUUCUCUUAUUUAAAUUUAUUUUUCAAAAUAAAUUGAUGAGACUUUUAUUAUAUUGAUUAAAAGUUGGGUGAUGAUUUUUUUUUUCAUUUCAAGUUGGGUUGAAUUUUCUAAUUAAAUCAUGUUUGAUUUUGCGUUUCAAAAUUUUUUUGAAAUUUUUUGGAUAAUUUUUAUUUUUUUUUCUUUACUUCAAAUUAAUAUUUUUUUUUUAUGUUUUUGUAUUAUUUUUUAUAAAAAAAAUAUGUUGAGAUUGUCUCUGACUCGAAGCCAGACCCAAGAAAUUUUAAAAUUUCAAUUUUUUUCUUUACUUCAAAAUAAUAUUUUUUUUGAUGUUUUUGUAUUAUUUUUAAAAUAUAUUAUCUAAAAACAUAUAUUGAGAUUGUGUCUGGAUGAGAGGGAAGACCCAAGAAAUUUAAUUUUUUUUUUCUUUACUUCAAAUUAAUAUUCUUUUGAUACUUUGGUAUUAUGUUUUUAAAUAUCAUUUUAAAAACAAUUAUGUUAAGAUUAGGUCUGGUUGCGUCACCAGACCCAUGGCAGCAGUGGGCCCUGCCUACAAGCAGAACCCACCGCUACUAGGUCCUUCUGUCAAGCAUGACUCAAUGAUGUUGGGCCCUGCUGCCCAGCAGCGAUGGGCCACCCUCCAGGACCUAUUAGCUUUGGGUCUUGCGGCCAGCACGACCCAUCAAAAAGCAUUGGGUCUUGCUGGGGGCAGGACCCAAUAAGCCAAUACUGUAAUGUGUUUUUCUUUUCUCUUAUUUUUUUUCACAGGGUAAAGAGGAAAUAUUAUUAUUAUAUUAUUAUGUUAUUGUUAUUGUUAUUGUUAUUCUUAUCAUUAAUAAAUUCAAAGAAACAAAAUUAUUACGAUUGAAGAAAAACCAUAAAUUUUAUUUAAAGAGAUUAAAAAAUAUAAAAACUUGAGUCAGACAAGUUUAACAUUAUUAUUAGUAUUAUAAAUAUUAUUAUUUUUAUUAUAGGUAAUACUAUUAAUAUAAUAAUUAAUAAAUUUGAAAAAAAUAUCAUUAAUAUUGAAAAAUAACCAUGGAUUUGAUUUGAAUGUUAAAAUUAAAAAUUAUUAUUAUUAUUAUUAACUUGGGUUUGGCAUCCCCUUCUAAACUUGAGAAACUUGGGGCACGAAAGGGACACAUGAUCGAAGUUGCUUGGGAGAGGCAAGAGCGCGGAUUCAAGUCCCUUAGGUCUUGCAGCCGCGCCUGACCCACCAUAUUUGGGUUAGGUGUUUGGAGCAAAGCUUGGGUCUGGCUGCAAUGCCAGACCCAAGAGCGUUGAGUCUGGCUGAAAGGACGGACCCCAAGCUCAGGGGUCUUUCUUUUUAAAUAGACCCAAUGCUCUUGCGAGCUGGACCCAUUAAAGUUAAAACAUGCUGCCACCAGAGCCCAGCAGCAGUGGCCCUGCUGCCAGCCCCACCUGCCUAGCAAGACCCAAUGUUGUUGGGUCCUUCUGUUAAGCAUGACCCAAUGAUGUUGGGCCCAGAUGGGUACCCAGCUACUGGGUCAUUCUGCCGAGCAUGACCCAAUGAUGCUGUAACUUUAAUGCGUUCGGAUUGCAGCCAGAUCCAAUGCUCUUGGGUCUAACAUUAAUAAGGGGCGCAAAGCUCUUGGGUCUGAUGUUGCAGCCAGACCCACUUACUCUUUGAUAAGUUUAAUAUUGUUAUGAAUAUUAAAAAUAUUAUUAUUUGUAUUAGAAAUAUUCUUAUUUUUAUUAUAAUUAAUAUAGUAAUUAACAAAUUUGAAAAACAAAUUUAAUAUUGAAAAACAACUAUAGAUUUGAUUUAAAGGGUAAACUUAAAAAUUAUUAUUAUUAUUAUUAUUAUUAUUAUUAUUAUUAUCAUCAUUAAUAAAUUUUUUUAAAAAAUUAUUAUUGUGGAAGAAAAACCAUAAUUGUUUUGUGAAUAGAUUAAAAAAAAUAAAAACUUGGGUCAGACAAGUUAUAUAUUAUUAUUAAUAUUAUAAAUAUUUUUUUAAAAAAAACUAUAUUGAGAUUGUGUCUGGCUGAGUAGUGAGACCCAAGAAAUUUUAAAAUUUUUAUUUUUUUUCUUUACUUCAAAUUAAUAUUCUUUUUAUAUUUUUGUAUUAUUUCUAAAAAAAUUAUACUUAUUAUAUAUUAUAUUAUAUAUGUACAUAUUUUUAUUUUCUAUAUUAAAACGCGUUAUCUUUGUUGUUUGUAAGUAAAAAAUUACGGCGGAUUAAUGGAUCCUGCUACCACCAGGACCUAAUAGCGUGAGACCCUGUUGCGAGUAGGAUCCCAUUGGCGUGAGGUUCUAUUGCCUGCAAGAUCCCAUAGUGCUGGGUCCUUUAGGACCCAUUAGUGUUGGAUCCUGCAAGACCCAUCAGCUUUGGGUCCUGCGGCAAUCAAAACCCAUAAAAAAGUGUUGGUCUUGCCACCAGCAGAACCCAAUACUGUAAUGUGUUUUUCUUUUUUCUUAUUUUUUUCUUAAAGGGUAAAGAGGAAAUAUUAUUAUUAUAUUAUUGUUAUUGUUAUUGUUCUUUUUAUCAUUAAUAAAUUCAAAGAGAAAAAUGAUUACUAUUGAAGAAAAACCAUAAAUUUUAUUUGAAGAGAUUAAAAACAUAAAAACUUGGGUCAGGCAAGUUUAACAUUAUUAUUAAUAUUCUAAAUAUUAUUAUUUUUAUUAUAGUUAAUAUUAUUAGUAUAAUAAUUAAUAAAUUUGAAAACAAAUAUCAUUAAUAUUGAAAAACAACCAUAGAUUUGAUUUGAAGGGUAAAAUUAAAAAUUAUUAUUAUUAUCAUCAUUAAUAAAUUUGAAAAACAAUAUUAUUACUAUCAAAUAAAAAUAAUAAAUUUUAUUUAAAGGGAUUAAAAACUAUAAAAACUUGGGCCAAAUAAAUUUAAUAUUAUUAUUAAUAUUAUAAAUUUUAUUAAAUUCAUUAAUAUAUUAAAUUUGCAAUGAAUUUCAUUACUAUUUAAAAAAAACAUAGAUUUGAUUUGAAGGGUAAAAUCAAUUAUCAUCAUAAUCAUCAUCAUCAUCUACGCGGAGAAGACGGUUAUAAGUAGGAUUUGGGUGCGGCUCUGCAGCCAGACCCAGAGAUAUUGGUUAUGGCUGCACAACCACACCUUUAUUUAUUAGGUGUUGCUCCGCAGCUACACCCAAUAGAUAAACCUGAUUGGAUUGGGUCCUUCUGCCAACUUUUACACCCAAUAGCAGGACCUGAUUGGCUUCGAUCCUGUUGCCAGCAGCACCCAACACCUAUCAACGUUGGGUCCAGUACCAGUAAGACCCAAAAGCUUUGGGUCUGGCGAAACUAGACCCAUCGACGAUGGGUUCUGUUGACAGCUGAAUCUAUCAGCGUUGGGUCCUGUUAAUCAGCAAGGCCCAAAAGUUGUGGGUCUUUCUGUCAGACUCAAUGCUAUUGGAUCUGGCUUGCACUAGACCCAAGACACUUAAAACAAUUUCUACAUUUGACAAAAAAAUUCUUUUUGACACGCUGCGGAGCACAGACUAAUAUGUUAGAUAUCAAACAAUAGCGUGUGUACUGGAUUACUGUGGAAAUUAUUUUUUAUAUAAAAAUAUAAUAAAAUAAUAUUUUUUAUUUUUUAUAAAUUAUUUUUAAGAUUAAAAUUUAAAAUGAUUAAAAAAUAAAAAAUUGUUUUGAAAAAAACAAUUCAUAUUUUUAAAAACAUAGUUUAAAAAGCUACUAGAUGCCAUGUCCGCGCGAUACCGCGAGCUUGUGCAUUGUCGUGGGUUUGUGGAAAAAAUCAUAAAAAAUAAAAAAAAAUCAUAUGGAGAAAACUUGUUGCAAUCCACAAUGUUUUCAAGGAAAAAACUAUAAAGCUAAAUUCUCAACCAGCUUAAUAUUAAAAAAAUAAAAUCGACAAAGAUAAUUUUGAAAAAAAUCAUAACAAAAAAAAACGAAAUGAAAAAAAAUCAUGCAGGGAAACACUAUAGCAAAUAGUGUUUCCUGAGAAAAUCUACAGUUGUAAUUCUCAACCAUUUCAAUAUUAAAAUAAUAAAAUCGAUAAAGAUAAUUUUAAAAAAAAAUCAUAAAAAAAAAUCAUGUGGGGGAACACGGUAGCAAUCCACAGUGUUUUAAAGAAAAAAAACUAUGAAGUUAAAUUCUCAACCAGCUUAAUAUGAAAAAAAAAUCGACAAAGACAAUUCUGGAAAAAAAAUCAUAAAAAAGAACAAAAAAACGAUGUGCGGAAACACUGUAGCAAUCCACGAUAUUUUAAAGAAAAAAACUACAAAGCUAAAUUCUCAACUAGCGCAAUAUUAAAAAAAUAAAAUCGACAAAAACCAUUCUGAAAAGAAAAACACAAAAAAAAGAAAAAGAAAAGAAAGAAGAAGACAAUUUUGGAAAAAACAAAGCAAAAAAAAAUGAAAAAAAAUAGAAAAACAAACAUGCGGGGAAAGUUAAAGCUAAAUUCUCAACCAGCUCAAUAUUAAAAAAAAUUGACAAAGAUAAUUUAAAAAAAAAACAUGUGAGGAAGCACUGUAGCAAAAUAAAAACCUUGUGGGGAAACAUUGUAGCAAUCCAUAAUGUUUUUUUUAAAAAAAACUAUGAAGCAAAAUUUUCAACCAGCUCAAUUUAAAAAAAAAAUCAAAAAAUAUAAUUUUGAAAAAAAACACAAAAAAAACAAAAAAAAACAAAAAAAAAGACAAUCUUGGGGAAAAAAAGGAAAAAAAACAUGUAAAACCCAAAAAAAGGAAAAAAAUGAAAAUAAAUGUUGGGAAAAAUAAAAAAAACACAAAAAUAAAAUAAAAAGAAGACAAUCUUGGAAAAAAAAAACAUGUAAAACAAAUCAAAAAAAAUGAAAAAAAUAUGGGGACUUUCCCCACACAUUUUAGAGUAUUACUAGUUACAUGACCCGCGCGAUGAUGCGGGUUAAUUUUUUUUAUAUAUAAAUAAAAUUUAAAAAAAAACUAAGAUCUAAAAAUAUUAGGUUUUUCUGUAAAGCUAUAUCCAAGAGUUUUGGGUUUGACUGCAACGCCUGACGCAAAAAUAAUAUUUAUAAUUCUUUAUCCUUUGAAAAUGUUAUGUACAAGAUCAAAUGUAUCUUAUGUUUUGAGCAUAAUGAGUAAACGUAAAUCUAAUCCAUGUAAAAGUAAUAGAAAAAUAGUUAAUAAUAAUCUUAAGUACUGAAAAAUAACUAAAAUGUUUUUCUAAUCUAUGAAAGAAAAGAGCUAGUAAUUCAUGAUUAUUUAAAUGCUAGUUUUUAAUUAAAUAUUGAAAAUAAAAAUUUAAUUUGAUUAUAUUAUAUUCUACAUAAUAAUGAUGCUAUGAGUUGAAAGAAUUUUAAAUAAAAGAUCAAAAUAGAUUUUACAACUAAAAUUAAAUAUAUCUCUAUAUUUGAAGGAACAAAAAAUUUUUUUAGUAAUUCUAAUAUUAUUGAUCCAGUAGCUAUGUUUUUUUAUUUUAUUUCCUUUUCACUUUCUAGAACUGCAUUUGGACUUCCACCAUCAUUGCAUGGGUGGAGGGAGUACAUCAGCAGAAAUACGAGAUCCCAACAGGAAACAACUAAACAAAGAACAUAAAGAUCAAACUUGCAUUUCUCCGACAGAGAGAGAGAGAGAGAGGAUACACCCUUGCAUGGGUUUUGUUUUCUACAUAAAAUCCAUUCGUGUCAAGUUCACAACGUGCAACAAGAAAAUAUUCAUGUUGACAAGGGCUUCAAAACACAGAUUGAGAUUCUAAAGAACACUAGUCAUCCACAGUCAAAAGGGAUCACAAAUCAGUACCCUGUUCUCUUCCUUUUGCUAGAAAUCAGUAUUGAAUUUUGUCGAACGAAGACUGCAUACAAUUUUGAGGGGAAGAAAAAACAAAGCAGUGCUUCUUUGCGCCAUUGUCUCCUUAUCUGGUAGCUAUGGAGAAACUUCUUUAAAAUAGCAGUACUUUCUCCAUCUACAAGUUGAGAUGCCUAAAUUUUAAACCAAAAGCAACCUCUAUCCACUGGGGCUACUUCAAUGAUUUCCCUUUUGUGGUCAUUUGAUCUUGUACAUAACAUUUUCAAAGGAUAAAGAGUUUUGGGUUUGACUGCAACGCCUGACCCAAAAUUUUUUAAAAAAACUAAGAUCUAAAAAUAUUAGGUCUUGCAGGUUCUUUUAUUGCUUGAUUUCUCCAUCAAAUCGAACACAACUUGCACGAAACGGAUCCCCUACAGUUCCUCUACAACCCCAUGUGAACGUUGCAGGAUGAAUGACAACACGGCGUCACCGGGGACGGCGUGAAGAGGUCAAUGCAGGCAGCCUUUUCCUGCAGAUUUGACAACUCAGGGAGGCUACUUUGAACCAACGGUUGGGAUCCUUCCCAACAGAAUCAAGGCUGAAAUUUUUUCCCGGUAUAGACAAGAUUGCCCUCUUCCACCGCCUAUAAAUAGAGGCGGAGUUGAUGGCCUGAUGGAGGAGAAAAUCGAGUCCAAAGUUGACAAAAAAACCAGCCUCCUCCCUAGUUUUUUUUUUCUUUUUCUGCAACAAGUCUCUCUCUCUACACUCUCUCUCACCGUGCUCUCAGCGACUCCAAGCCACGCCGCCACCAGCUCGUCUUCCACCCUCUCCACCACACUUAUUCCUCUCCACCGAAAGCACCUCCUUUUUCCUCCACAACGGCAGCAGCCCAUCAACACCAUCAUUUUCAUUUUCUUUCUUCUCCAGUAUCGGCAACAGCAGCACCGACUCCUCCACAGACGCCGCCACCAGCUUCAGGGCGACUACUCGGACCACCUCCAACCUCACUCCAGGUCGGUGACAUCAACUGCUUCUCCCCCCCGCAAGGUUGCCUCCCGCUCCACUCCGCGGGCUGCAACUGCAAAGUUGCAUAUAGAACGUGAACUUACUGUUCACGUUCUGCACAUAAUUCAUUUCACUUGGGUCAAGCCAGUUCUGGCCCAGACCAAAUGUUUGGGCCGGGUCCGGCCCCCAAAAAGGAGAGAAAGAAAGUAUGUUGGGCCGAUAUCGGCCCAAUCUUUUUGGGGCCGAUAUCGGCCCACUGUUUCUGGGUUUAUGUCUGGCCCAGUCAUCUGGGCCGGCCCAGCCCACCUGUUUUAAUAAUAUUUAUUUAAUAUAUAAUAUUAUAUUAUAUAUUUCUUUUAAAAAAAACAAAAAAUUCCAAAAAAAUUUCAAAAAUCCUUUGAAAAAAAUUGUGAUUUUCUCAAAUAUUUUUUUUACCAAUUUUGCAUAAUAUCGGGUUGUAUAUUUACACUGUAAAAUACAAAUCCUGUAUUAAAAUACCUGGUUUUCUCUGAAAUAUUUCAAAAAAAAGAAAAUUAAAACAUUCUAAAAAAGAAAAAAUAUUUUAUUGCAUACGGCCAAAUCCUAAAAUUUUUCCAAGCAUAUUUUUCAUAUAAAAAAAUGAAAACAAAAAUUGCAUCUUUUUCAUGUUUAAAAAAUCCAAAAAUGGAUAUCGUAACCAAUUUAUGAUUAUCCACUAGGAUUUGGUCAACAUGUCAAAAACCUUUUUCUAAUUUUUUUAGGGUCCAGAUGUAGACUUUAAUAUUUAUGGGUGUAAAAUUACACGAUAAAAUACACCCUCAAGUAUUAAAGAUACAAGGUGUAAAAAUACGAUGCUAAAAUUCAGACUUUAAAACGGUUAGGAUUUAACCCAAUAAGGUAGAGACUUUCUCAUGAAACGAGAUCUGCCUUGAGCCUUAGAAAAGACCAACGAAUAGAAACCCAACUUGGAAAAAAACAAUCAAACAAUAAUGCAGCUUACCUUAGGUAGGGUGCACUAGGUGUGAUGCGUCUUCCCCUUGCACAACCAGUCCCUUACUCAGACUCUCGCAGACCAUAGGUUCCUAGUGACCAUAAUACUAGGUGGCGACUCCUGAAUCUUAAUCAUAAUUUUAUGAUUAAAUCCAAAAAAAUCUUCCUAACACACCUCACAUAGGAGGCACGACAGAAAGCCUUCUUUGUCGCCAGACGACAUCGCACCGGCGCUCGCGCACCCCGCGACAAAGAUAAUUUAAAAAAAAAACCAUAAUAAAAAAAAUUAUGUGGGGAAAGACUGUAACAAUCCACAGUUUAAAAAAAAAUAAAACUAAAUUUCUAAACAGCUUAAUAUAAAAAAAAAAAGAAAAAAAAAAAGAAGGUCUUCGGUGGCCAUUGAUAGCUAUGCGAUGAACUACUCAAAAUGCUAGAACAAUUGCAAAUCCCAGUUGCUAUGUAAUGGAACUUCCAGGCUAAGGCUCCUUUAAAUUACCUGCACGCCCGGCGUAGGAAAUUAUUAUUCUAAUUAUUCAACGACAACUUCAAGACAUGGCUGGCGUCGGGUGAUGACGAAGACAUUAUGACGUAGGUCUGCUGAAGUGGACCAAGUGGUAUUCGCAUUAUCACGUGCUUCUACAACUCUCCUCUUGCUUUUUUUUUUUAAUCUCCUUUUUUUUUGUUUUUGUUUGUGUUCUAGUUUUAUCCAUGGUUUGAUAAUUGUUUUGUGAGUUUGUUAUUAAAUGUAUUUUGUGCUUUUAUCUUUUUAAUAAAAUCUUUAUAUUUAUUGAUUAAAAAAAAUACUUAAUUUGUUUUUUUAAUUAGAAAAUUAUUCUCUUCUGGUUUUGCUGCAUUUGAAAAUGAAUUUUUCUAUCAAAAUUUUUUUUUCUAAUAUAAAUCAAUAAUCAUAUGUAAAUCAAAGUUGAAAUGAACGAACAAACAAACUAUGUACAUGGCAUCUUCCGUAGGAAGCUUAGGAAAGGAUGAAGGCCAAGAAUAAUGUAAAAUAAAAACCUAUGCCUCCACUACCAAUAAUGUAAAAAAAAUUAUUGAGAAAAAUAAAUCAUGAAAAUGUACUUCCAGCUCCAGUCAUCCAAAGCUUCUUAAGUCUUAGAAAAAAACAUUUAACACAAAUCUCGAUAUAAUUCAUAUGUUAAUUAAAUUCUCAAAGAUAUCGAGAGAAUUCUUGAUUAGAUUUUUAACGUAGUCUAUUUUCUAUCAAAUGUGACUUGAUAAUAAUCAUAUGCAUCAAAAUAAAUUCUCUUUAAAUAGUUAUUGGUUUUUUUCUUUUUUUUUAUGUUUUUUUUUUAUUUUUUCUAAAAUUAUCUUUAUUGAUUUUAUUUUUUUAAUAUUUAUUCGCAGUUAUAACACCAUCAAACAUAUUUAUUUUAUAAACUCGUGAUAAUGUGCUAGCAUGCUAUUUAGUAUCAAAUUAUAGUGUGUGUAUAGUAUUACUGUGGAGAUUAUUUUUUAAAAUAUUUUUAUAUGAAAAUAAUAUUUUUUAUUUUUAAAAAAUUAUUUUUAAUAUUAAAAUUUAAAAUGAUAGAAAAAAAUAUAAAAAAAUUAUUUUAAAAAAACAAUUUAUAUUUUUAAAAACACAGUUUAAAAAGCUAUUCCAAACAGCGCUGGAUCCACCACGCAGCUUGGGCUUACGUCCCUUUACGAAAGAUGAGAUUCACAAUAACAAGAGAAGAAGGGUUACUGCUACAAUUACAGGAAUAUUUGCUCUAAAGGUGAAGUUUCUCCAUCCAACCAGGUAGAAACAAAGAGAGUGGCACGAUGGCAUCAAUUUUAUUAGACGAGUGCUAUAAGUUUGGAGUUCACAAUUACUAUUUCUUCUAUUAGAAAACACAUUGCAAUGUAUGUAUAUUCUUUUUUAUGUUGAAAAUUUUUAACGAAGGGCGGGUUAACUAGUUAAUAGUCUCAUGUUCUUUAGAAAUUGAAGGGAUUAAACACUAAAGUAACUAACUUUCCUCGCCAAAAAAAAGGUAUGGUUUGAUUUUUUAACAUAUGAUUGAAAUUUAAGUUUUAAAUUUAAGUUUUAAUCGCCACUAGAUUGGUAGCCUGCAUGCCAUGUCACGCGCUAGCAGGAUUAAUUUUUUUUUCAUCGGAAGAAAAAAAUGCUUAGUCAUUUUAUAUUGGAUUAAUAUGAUUAAAACAAUAGGAAUGAUAAGCAUUUUCCUCUACGAAUGAGGAAAACCUCAUAACAAGUGAUGGAGAUUUGAGAACAACAAGCAACCAUGGAUUCCCAAGUUUCAAAUGGGUCACAGGAUUCACAUAAACUUAGCCAAUCCGGUUAUUUAUUCUUCGUAUCGAAAUACAGGACAUGAAAAUCCUUCAGCAACACACCUCUUAAUUACAUAUCAAUAACAGCAAAGACAUCCACAUCUUCACACACAUGCAACAAACACCUUACAUCGCACGCUUCUUAUAGCAGAAAGCCCAUAAAACCAGAUACAAGGAGCGCUUGCCCGCUUAAGCUCUGCGGCACACAUCUCCAUCGCAGUUCCAUCCUUCCUUUCCCUUUUCACUUCCAGUAUCUUCAUCUUCCUUCAACGCACAUUUCGGGUGAAGAUCAAAGUCACAUUGUUUGCAAUAGAAAGACCAACUAUGUCCUGUUUCACGACAGCCAUUGCAAACAUAUGCUUUGCGUUUAGUACGAAUCAGCUCAUGCUCAGUAUGAAGUUCGUGUUUCACUUUCUCUGGCCACCCCUUUUCCUUUUCCUCAAGCUCCUCCUCCAAUUGCUUUAGAUGUUCCUCGGUAAAUGGAAAAGCAUCUGCCCCGUAAGCUGUCAAGUGCUUCCGAGCUUCCUUGGUAAUGGUCCGGCCACUUGGGCCAAUCGCUACAGCUGCAGGAAUGCCUUGAAUUUUGAAUUUCCGACUCAGGAUUUGUUUCCUUCCAUCAACAAAUGGAAGGGCUAACCAAGGCAUUUCAGAAUAGAACUCGUCAAAGGUGGAUUGAUCGCUGUCGCUUGAGAUGAAGAUCACCUCGAAUGCGUUGUCUUUUCCUUUAAUUGUGUGGUAUGCUUCAAUUAGCUUGGGUAAAAAGGCACGACAUGGAGGGCACCAUUGAGCUGAGAAGUAAAGAAGAAUGUUCUUUCCAACUAGUUCAGACACUGGGACCUAAUCAAGAACAAACCACUUGAAUGAUAAAAAAAACCUUUGCUAAUGAAUUCAAUUAGUGAUGAUAUGAAAGUUAUUGAAAGUAAUGCAAUAACAACAUGCGAG